This 83621-nucleotide long non-coding RNA is filed under the name Eucalyptus grandis. RNAcentral describes it as "long non-coding RNA (EGRA_LNC002478)". Lineage: Eukaryota; Viridiplantae; Streptophyta; Magnoliopsida; Myrtales; Myrtaceae. The record is from RNAcentral.
UCCAUUUACAGAGUCACUUCAUCCUUAAUCUCACAUCAGAACCACCUUCACAUAUUGUUCUCUUUGGUUCACAUGUCCCAGAUUAAAAUGACAUUGCUUCUUUUAUCGUAUAUAGCAUGCUAUACUAUAUCUUGCUAUUUCAAAGGUCUAGAACGAGCAUCAGUGGAACAAAUCCACCUUGCAUAGCGUAAGAUUCCUAAUGCUUGAAUAAAAAUAAAAUAAAAUUGGAAGAUGAUUUUUCCAGAUGGGAUGAAUUUGAUCGAAAUUCUGCCCUCGGUCAAAUUUGACAGGUAGAUUUUGUCAAGAAUCCAAUAUGGCUAGGGAAUCUUGUGAAGAAAGUAUAGCAGUGUAUCAAAAACACCUUAAUUACUUACCAUGAAAAGAAUUGUUGAGGGACUGAGAUAACGAAAGUUGAAGGGUUUCCUAAAGAGUACAUAUGGCUUAUUUGAAGCAGCUGUUCUCCCAUUUGAGCAUCCUCACGGAUAAAAUGAAAUCAAAAGUAUCAGCGUAGGUUUAUAAACAUAACCAUAUAGAUGUCAAAUGAGGAAGGAAAUCAUUCUUCAAAGUCAAUACUUCUAGAAAACUAUCACUCAAUUGCUAGGGAUAAUAGGUUAUCCAAGAUCGAUAACCUUACUUGAUGGCUAUGACAUCCGAUGAACUUCGAAGGCAUUCUGAUGACUGUUGGCAUUAUCAAGAGAGUGAUUUCUCCGAAGCAUCAUCGUGUCAUGCUCCUUCAUUAGCUUCCCCGUUCCUUGAAUCACGUAAGAGAACAAAAACAAUACACUGUUGUCAUGGAAAAUUUUUAAAUUUGACCUAAUUAUUUUAUGUAAUUUAUUCGGUGAUUAAAUAUCAAACCUCCUCAUUCGUACAUUGCUAAUAUCAAAUGGUUAAUACAUUAACUGCAGAAAAUUUCUUGUCGUUGAAAUAUUUAAUAGUGACAGAAAUUCGUAACUUACUAAUUUAUUGACAUAUUUGUAGAUCUAUUGACAGGCUGCACUAGUACAAUUUAAAAAACAAAAAUUGAUCACUAACUAAUCUAAGGGUCGUUGGUAAAAUCAUUUUCAAGCUGAUAUUUUACUAAUCGCACCUAUAAAAUUUGGAAAAGGUCGUUAAUUUACCGAUUGAUUUAAUCUUCGGGAAAUCCUUCUGCUUUUCCUUGUAAAUUUGUUAUUAACUCCUCCCACGACCCAGAGCACGAUACCCUUGAAGCAUAGUGUCAACUGCCACGACCAGCUCCCCAUUCCUUGAACUACUUAAAAAGUAGAAUAGCAGGCUAUCAAGAAAAAUGGUGUUAUAGAGUAGGAAAGGCUGAUGAAAUUUGGCAAUGCAGCUCGACCAUGAACAGUGUGACUUGCUCUAUUUACCUUUCAAAGCCAAAACGUGAAUUGUUCCUGAAAUUGAGGCCGUACUGCUCGACUCAUCGGAGUAUUCUUCUCAUAGACCAAUUGUUUCUCUCUGCUGCAGUAGUGCAAUGAACGUAUAAAAUUCCGAUAAGUUGCAUUGCUGAACGCCUUUUAGAGUUUAGACGCCUCAAUUCCUGGAGCUAUGUGAUCUCCACAAGUUCAUGCGAGAUUGACCCCCAUCAUUUCAUUAAAUCUUCGAAUUUCAACAGAUGUGGACGAACUUUUGCAACUUUGUCAAGUCUCUGAAUAUCACUUAGCUUCGAGCACCCUUUAAUGUUCAGAGGGCGAACUUCUAAAGGAAGCAAAUGUUAUUUCUUCAAGGAUGUCGUCGACAUCCUCUCUCUUGUCAUGGAAGCUGCUUUGCUUGCCGGAAGAUACCUCCACAAGCCCCGAAUCUCUGUCCUCGUUCAAUGGAUAUAUCAACUCAGAUCCCUUCAUCUCACUUCAUGAUCGGCCCUUUCUUCUUUGACUAUUUUUCUUCCAGCUGUCUGUCUGUUCUCUGUUGCAACAAGAGGGAAAAAGAAAAGAGAGUAAUGUAAAGUGCCUCUGUUUUCCUUUCCAGUAGAAUUGGAAGAGUAAUGGAAACUGACAAUGGACUUCAAUUAUAACUGCAGAAGCAAGAACAUAAAGCGGCCGCAGAGUUCAAAACCCAAGAUCCGUGUACAAAUUUAGAAUGACAAAUAAUGCGAAUCAAACAUACUAUUCUAUACUUCAAUGCUUAAUUAUCUAAUGUGAACAAUAUCAUGGUCAGGGGGAAUGAACUUGAUUUUACCUUGAGGGCCACCAAAAGAGACAUUUGAAUCGUUGACAAACAGCUUUUUGGCAUCUCGUCAGUAGUUGUCCUUGCUAUAAAAAUACAUUCUCUUUGGAAGAAAAGAAUUUCGGAUGGAAAUCCUGAGAGUCGCACAUGCAUCCUCCGUUUCUGAUGUCAUGAUGUUCAAUCUUUGGGGUUAGGAAUCACAUAAUUAUGGUCGAUAUUUUCCUCCAGUUCAUAAGGAAAUUGUUUGUCAAGUGUUAAUCCUUCUAAAUCAGAGUUGGAAGGAUGUAAUUCCAAAGUCUCAAGCUGCCUGCACUGUCAAGAACAAUAAUUAUAAAUUGCAACCUUCAUAAACUGCAUCAAUUGAAAUAGUUGUUUUAAAAAUCGAAAAUCUAUCCCUAAGAAAGGCAUUAACAGCUCCUGCAAAUUGACGCAACAUCAUGAGCUCAAUUUGUUAUCCACUAUAUCGAUUACUACCAAAUCAUGCCGCAAGGUUUCAUUGAGGAAUCUUCAUCUUUUAGAGUAGUCUUGACAACAAAACUCUCACAAAGCAACAACAAUGUCCAGCUGUGCUUCAUUCCGGUGCCAAAACAAACACUCCAUUUACACAGUCACUUCAUCCUUAAUCUCACAUCAGAACCACCUCCACAUAUGGUUCUCUUUGGUUUGCAUGUCCCAGAUUAAAAUCACAUCGUUUCUUUCAUCUAUGUAGCAUGCUAUAGUAUAUCUUGCUAUUUUGAAGGUCCUGAAUGAGCUUCGGUGGAAAAAUCCACAUUACAUGACGUAAAAAUUCUAACGCUUGAAUGAAUAAUACAUAAAAUCUGAAGCUGAUUUUUCCAGACGGGAUGAAUUUGAUUGAUAUUUUGCCCAGUUAAGUUCGACAUGUAAAUCUCAUCAAGAAUCCAAAAUGGUCAGGAAAUCUUGUGAAGAAAAUAUAGUAGUGCAUCAGAAACAUGUUAAUGACUUACCACGAAAAGAAUUCUUAAGGGGCUGAGGCAACUGAAGUUGAGGGGUUUCUUGGAAAAGGCACAUGGCUUAGUUGAAGCAAAUGUUCUUCCAUUUGAGCAUCCUCAUGGAUAAAAUUAAAUCUAAAGUAUCUGUGCAGGCGAAUAAAAAUAACCACAUAGAUGUCGAGGUAGGAAGCAAAUCAUUUUUCGAAGUCAGUAAUUUCAGAAAACUAUAACUUAGAUUUGCUUGUGAUAGUCAUUAAUAGCUUAUCUGGGACGAGCAAUCUUACUUGAUGGCUAUGACAUUUGAUGUGCUUCGAUGGCAUUCUCAUGACUGUUGGAAUUAUCAAGAGAGUGAUUUCUCCGAAGCAUCAUGUCAUACUCCUCCAUCAGCUUCCCGUUCCUGGAAUCACGUAAGCCCGUAUCAUGAAAAAUGAUUAAAUUUCGAUCUAAUAAUUUUAUGUAAAGGGAAAAGAGACAUAAAGACAAUGAUCCAUCUUUUUAUUAGGUGAUUAAAUAUCAGACCUCCUCCGUACGUUGCUAAUAUCAAAUGGUUAAUACAUAAAAUAAAGAAAAUUUUUAGUCGGCUAAAAUAUUUUAUAAAUGGCAGAAAUUUGUAACAUACUAAUUUAUUGACAUAAUUGUAGAUUUGUUGACGGGCUACACUAGUCAAAUUUGACAAAGAAAUGGCCACUCACUAAUUUAAGGAGACGUUGGUUAAAUCAUUUUACGGUUGGUAUUUUACUGACCGCACUAAAAUUUUAAAGAGUUCAGUAAUAAACUGGUUUAUUAAAACCUUGGAAAAUCCUUCUACUUUUCCUUGUGAAUGUAUUAUUGACUCAUCCCAUGAUCCACAGGACGAUACCCCUGAAGCAUCGUGUCAACUUCCCCGAACAGCUCUCCAUUCCUUGAAGUACUUAAAAGACGAAAGUAUACCAGCGGGCUAUCAAGAAAAAUGGCGUUACCAAGUAGGAAAUGCUGAUGAAAUUUGGCAAUGUAUCUCGACAGUGAACAGUUUGACCUGCCUUAUUUACCUUUCAAAGCAAAACGUGAAUCGUUCCAGACAUUGUGGCCAAAGCGCUCAACUCAGCGGAGCAUUUUCUCAUGGACCAAUUGUUUCUCUCUGCUGCAGUAGUGCAAUGAACGUAUAGAAUUCCAAUAGGUUGUAUUGCUGAAUGUUUUUCAGAGUUUAGACGCCUCGAUUCUUGGAGCUUUGUGAUCUCCAUAAGUUCAUGCGAGAUCGACCCCCAUCAUUUCAUUAAAUCUUCAAAAUUCGACAGACGUGGACAAUUUGCUGAUGCUUAGAGGUGAAUCCGUCAUAUGCGCACAUUUGCGACUUUCUGUUGGAAUUGUUCAGCUGCUGUUUUCUGUCAUAUGUUCCUCUGUUUUACUCUGUUUUUUUUUUUAUUAUUAAAAAACAGCCAAGUUCAUUUAGUUAUGCAUUUAGUGUUUUUGCUAUUUUCUAGGAAGUUAAUGGCACGUUUGUGUGCAGUUAUGUGUUGCACGUACGUGAGCAGUUUCUGCUUUGUAUUUAGUGGUUGUACUCGACAGUUUUUUUUUUCUUUAAGCACAAGACGUAUGAAGUGCUAUGCUCUGUUUUUUUUUUUAUUAUCUUUUCUCUCUCUCAAACAACAUAAUUUUUUUUGUUUUGAUUGUUGUUUUUAUGAGCUUUAACAUUGGUAUCAGAGCUUUUGUGGGAUCUUAAGGGAUUGUGAAGUGAGGGUAAGUGAGUGAAAAUUGCUUCCAAUCUGCAAAGAAAAAGCUGAUGGAGGAAGGACCGAGUGGAUUCUCUGCAAUGGCUGCUCCAGUCUUUACUGGGGAAAAUUAUCAAGCUUGGGCUGUCAAGAUGACGGCAUUCUUGGAGGGUCAUGAUUUAUGGGAGGCUGUGGAGAAUGAUUAUGAGGUUGUUCCACUUCCAGACAAACCUUGAAUCGGAUAAAGUAUCAUAAAGAGAGAAUCACAAGGAAGGCUAAGGCAAAGUCUUCCCUGUAUGCUGCUGUUUCACCUACUAUCUUCACAGGGAUCAUGAGAUGUGAUUAUGCAAAGGCAAUAUGGGAUUUCUUGAAGGAUGAAUACGAGGGAGAUGAGAAGAUAAGAGGCAUGAAGGUGCUGAAUCUCUCGAGGGAGUUUGAGAGACAGCAGAUGAAGGAUUCAGAGUCAGUGAAGGAGUACUUUGAUAGGCUGGUUGGGAUAGCUGAAAAAAUCAGAGUUUUAGGGACUGACUUGAAGGAUGAAAGGUUUGUUCAGAAGAUCCUGGUGUCUCUUCUAGAGAAGUUCGAAGCCACCAUAGCUUCUCUGGAAAAUACAAGAGACUUAGCUGAUAUAAAGCUUGCAGAAUUGUUAAAUGCUCUGCAGGCACAGGAGCAUAGAAGAUUGAUGAGAAGAGAAGAGUUUGUAAAGGGUGCGCUGCAAGCUAAAGUGAAGUCAAAUGAUGGAGGCAAAGGGAAGAAAUGGAUUCAGUCCAGAGAAAAUGCUGGUGACUCCAAGUUUGUAGCAAAGGAAGGAAAUUCUUGUGGGUCUAGCAAAUGGAAGAUGAACAAAAAGCCUUGUCAAUACUGUGGUGGAACUAAUCAUCAGUUUUUUAGAUGUUGGAGAAAGCCUGAUGCUAGAUGCAGAAGAUGUCACAAGUUGGGUCACAUGGAAGCCAUCUGCAAAGAAAAAAAUUACCAGCAAGCAGGAAAAGCACAGGUAGCAGUGAAUGAAACUAAGGAAGAGCACUUGUUUGUAGCUUCUUUUUCUGAAUUUUCUGUUGGGAAUGAUGCAUGGCUGGUGGAUAGUGGCUAUACCAAUCAUAUGAUUGGCAAUUCGAAGCUGUUUAGGAGUUUAGACAGGUCAGUCAGGUCCAGAGUCAGAAUUGGCAACGGACAGUAUAUCGAAGUACAAGGGAAGGGUACAGUGGCUAUUGAAGGAAAUCAGGAGGUGAAGCUGAUGAGUGAUGUUCUUUUUGUGCCAAACAUUGACUAGAAUCUGUUAAGUGUUGGUCAAUUAGUUGAGAAGGGCUAUAAAGUGAAGUUCGAAGGGAAGGAAUGUCUUAUUAAUAAUGCAGAUAGCAAAGAAGUGCUAAGAAUCCCAAUGAGGGACAAGAGUUUCAUGUUCAAGCCACAAGAGAUGCAACAAAUGGCUUUAAAGUGCAAAGAAGAAAAUGCAGAGCUAUGGCAUAAAGACUUGGGCAUGUUCACAGAAGAGCAUGUCGUUAUGCAGAGAAUAGCUGGCAGAUGACUUGCCAAGUUUGGANNNNNNNNNNNNNNNNNNNNNNNNNNNNNNNNNNNNNNNNNNNNNNNNNNNNNNNNNNNNNNNNNNNNNNNNNNNNNNNNNNNNNNNNNNNNNNNNNNNNNNNNNNNNNNNNNNNNNNNNNNNNNNNNNNNNNNNNNNNNNNNNNNNNNNNNNNNNNNNNNNNNNNNNNNNNNNNNNNNNNNNNNNNNNNNNNNNNNNNNNNNNNNNNNNNNNNNNNNNNNNNNNNNNNNNNNNNNNNNNNNNNNNNNNNNNNNNNNNNNNNNNNNNNNNNNNNNNNNNNNNNNNNNNNNNNNNNNNNNNNNNNNNNNNNNNNNNNNNNNNNNNNNNNNNNNNNNNNNNNNNNNNNNNNNNNNNNNNNNNNNNNNNNNNNNNNNNNNNNNNNNNNNNNNNNNNNNNNNNNNNNNNNNNNNNNNNNNNNNNNNNNNNNNNNNNNNNNNNNNNNNNNNNNNNNNNNNNNNNNNNNNNNNNNNNNNNNNNNNNNNNNNNNNNNNNNNNNNNNNNNNNNNNNNNNNNNNNNNNNNNNNNNNNNNNNNNNNNNNNNNNNNNNNNNNNNNNNNNNNNNNNNNNNNNNNNNNNNNNNNNNNNNNNNNNNNNNNNNNNNNNNNNNNNNNNNNNNNNNNNNNNNNNNNNNNNNNNNNNNNNNNNNNNNNNNNNNNNNNNNNNNNNNNNNNNNNNNNNNNNNNNNNNNNNNNNNNNNNNNNNNNNNNNNNNNNNNNNNNNNNNNNNNNNNNNNNNNNNNNNNNNNNNNNNNNNNNNNNNNNNNNNNNNNNNNNNNNNNNNNNNNNNNNNNNNNNNNNNNNNNNNNNNNNNNNNNNNNNNNNNNNNNNNNNNNNNNNNNNNNNNNNNNNNNNNNNNNNNNNNNNNNNNNNNNNNNNNNNNNNNNNNNNNNNNNNNNNNNNNNNNNNNNNNNNNNNGAGUUCUGGGCUGAAGCAGCUAAUACUACAGUGUUCCUAUUGAACAGAUUGCCCACAAAGGCCUUAGAGAGGUCAACACAUUUUGAAGUCUGGUAUGGUGUUAAACCUUCUGUGAAAACUUUGAAGGUUUUUGGGUGUUUGUGUUACACUCAUGUUCCUGAGGUUAAGAGGGACAAGCUGGAUAAGUGUUAGGGAAAUCCCUUAUGAUGUUUUGAAGAUGACAAAAUAAAUCAAAGGCUACUAACAUGUUUGAUGGUUGAGUAAUAGACCAUGCAGAUAAUAGAACAUGUAAAGGAUAUUAUCAAAGUCUGAAGACUGCCAGACUCGAGACUCAAAGUCUGAAGACUGCUAGACUCGAGACUCAAAGUCUGAAGACUGCUAGACUCGAGACUCAAAGUCUGAAGACUGCCAGACUUUAGUGUCAAAGUCUGUUAUACAUCAUAAGUCUGUUCACUCUGACAAAUUCCAGAUUGAACGUGAAUGAUGAACCAGAAGACAGACUCUAUGCUGAAGCUGAACCAGAAGACAGACUCUAUGCUGAAGUUUAACUGGGUACAGACUCAGAUUGUAAAGUCUACAGACCCAGAUUGUAAAGUCUCAAGACUCAUAUCGUAAAGUCUACAGACUCAGACUUUACAUCCAGAUUCGAUGAAUCGUAACUCAAGCCCAAUCAUACAACGGCUAGUGAUCUGGUUUGGAUUCCACAUCAAGAUUGAUUUGAUUGAAGACAAGAUCUUUCUAUACGAAGAAGCUUUACUUAUGGAAACCAAGAUUUCGUUUGUAUGGGCGAUCGGAAUCAAUUUGGGAUUUUACCUUUGUCACUCAACGGCUACCAAAUCUUCUAAGAUACAGAGCUGUCCAAUGGGUAUAUUGGAAGACGAUUCUCCGGGAUGCUGUCCAACGGGUAGUUUGGAAGUGGAGGAGUAUUUAAGGAGAUCAUGGACCGAUGAGCAAGUAAGAGACGGAGCGUAGAAUUUAUAAUUCCAAAGUCUGAGUGACUUUAGAUCAUAUACUUGUCUCUUGAGAGCUUAAACGUUUGUAAUCGUGAGAGAAAUACCAAGAGAGUGACUUAGUGAGAUAGUGUGAUCUACUACUAAGUGUUUGCACUCGGAGUUGUAAUCUCUUGUUGAUUGCAUAGUGGAAUCCAGCCAAGAAGGCUGUUAUCGUGGGAGAGUGGACGUAGGCUUGGAUUAAGCCGAACCACUAUAAAUCUUUGUGUUCUUAUUCUCUUCCUUAACUCCUUUAUUUUGUUCAUACUAGCACUCUCAAUUGGUAUCAGAGCCCGUGUUCUUACUUUAUUUGAAGUGUUUUACUUCAGAGUAAAAGAUCCAUGGCUAGUAUGCUAGCACCAGGACUUAUGGAAGGGCAAAGCAAAACAAGGCCACCAUAUUUUGAUGGAAAUGAAUACGACGUGUGGAAGAACAAAAUGAAAGCAUUCCUAAGAUCCAGAGAUCUCUUACAAUGGGAUGUUGUGGAAAGAGGAAUCAACCCCACCGCUCCUAUGUCUCGGACGGAGUUGUCCAAAAGAGAAGCGCUUGAUGCGAAAGCAAUUUAUUCUUUAUAUUGCGCUUUGUCUCCUACUGAAUAUAACAGAAUAUCUUCAUGUGAAACAUCAAAAGAAGUUUGGGAUAAACUUCAUGUUACAUAUGAAGGGACCGAUCGUGUAAAAGAGACAAAAGUAAACUUCUUGCUCGGCAAAUAUGAAUCCUUCAAGAUGAAGCAAGGAGAGUCAAUUGGAGAUAUGUUUAAUCGUUUUACAGAAAUUGUAAACGGUUUGGCAUGUCAAGGUCAUCCUAUUUCUUCCCCAAUGAAGGUCAACAAACUCUUGCAAGGUCUCUCAAAAGAUUGGAACCAUGUCAAGACCUCAAUCCGGGAGACUCAAAGGAUUAUGCCACUCACCGUUGAUGAAUUAAUCGGCACUCUUCAAUCCUAUGAAGUGGAGCAACUCAACGAUGAAGAUCCUGAAGGUAAGAAGUCCAUUGCUUUAAUAUCUAAUGCUGUUUUUGAUGAAACAGACUCAGAAAAUGACAUGGACGAUGAAGAAUUUGCCUUUAUGGUCGAGAAAUUCAAAAAGCUGAGUAGAAAAGAAAGGAAAUUCAGUGGAAGAAGUCAAUACAAGCAUAAUGGCCAGAAAAGAAUCAUGAAAGAAGAUGAUGAGCAAAGAAAUCUAUGCUUGAUGGCACAUUCAGAAUCUGAGUCUAACUCAGACACAGACGCAGAAACAGAGUCUCAUUCAGAACCAGACUCAGAAUCCGAUGAGGAAAUCAAGGGGAGAAAUCGAAUCCAAAAGAAAAGGAAAAGAAUCGUGAUCACCUAAAAAAUGCAACAAAUUGAGGGGGAGCUUUGAUCAAUUAUGGAAAAAUCUCUUUUGAUUGAUCGUGAUCUUAUUAUGGAUGGAAGGAAAGGUAAUUGUGUCAGAAUUUAUUCUACAAAAUCCGGUUAGUGCAUCUCUUAUUACCUUUUGUCAUUAACAAAUCUCAUAUUGAUAUUAUCAUUUUAUUAUGACAAAAAUGGUACGUGAAUUUUAUGAUGCAUCCGUGAUUUUUAUUGGAUAUUUACUGAUAUGAUCGAAGUGAGCUAUAUUGCAUAUCUUUAAUAUUCGAUAAAAGCUGAUUUUUGGAAAUUGUGAUUCAUGCAAGAUAUUUAUUAUCAUUCUCUACGUGAAUCCAUUAUCACUUUUUGAUUAUGAAAAAAAGGGGGAGAAGAUAUGAAUAUGCAUAUGUGCUGAUUGGUUGAUAUUAUUUAUUGCAUAAUAUUGAGCUGCGAUUAUUUUUCUAAAUAUUAUUAUGCUCAAUCUAUUUGUUAUCUUAUGAUAUCCUUUGAUUUAAAUUAAUAUUUUUAAAAGCAUGUUUACAAAUCUGCAUAUUCAGAGAUUGUUUUGUCAUCAUCAAAAAGGGGGAGAUUGUUAGGGAAAUCCCUUAUGAUGUUUUGAAGAUGACAAAAUAAAUCAAAGGCUACUAACAUGUUUGAUGGUUGAGUAAUAGACCAUGCAGAUAAUAGAACAUGUAAAGGAUAUUAUCAAAGUCUGAAGACUGCCAGACUCGAGACUCAAAGUCUGAAGACUGCUAGACUCGAGACUCAAAGUCUGAAGACUGCUAGACUCGAGACUCAAAGUCUGAAGACUGCUAGACUCGAGACUCAAAGUCUGAAGACUGCCAGACUUUAGUGUCAAAGUCUGUUCUACAUCAGAAGUCUGUUCACUCUGACAAAUUCCAGAUUGAACGUGAAUGAUGAACCAGAAGACAGACUCUAUGCUGAAGCUGAACCAGAAGACAGACUCUAUGCUGAAGUUUAACUGGGUACAGACUCAGAUUGUAAAGUCUACAGACCCAGAUUGUAAAGUCUCAAGACUCAUAUCGUAAAGUCUACAGACUCAGACUUUACAUCCAGAUUCGAUGAAUCGUAACUCAAGCCCAAUCAUACAACGGCUAGUGAUCUGGUUUGGAUUCCACAUCAAGAUUGAUUUGAUUGAAGACAAGAUCUUUCUAUACGAAGAAGCUUUACUUAUGGAAACCAAGAUUUCGUUUGUAUGGGCGAUCAGAAUCAAUUUGGGAUUUUACCUUUGUCACUCAACGGCUACCAAAUCUUCUAAGAUACAGAGCUGUCCAAUGGGUAUAUUGGAAGACAAUUCUCCGGGAUGCUGUCCAACGGGUAGUUUGGAAGUGGAGGAGUAUUUAAGGAGAUCAUGGACCGAUGAGCAAGUAAGAGACGGAGCGUAGAAUUUAUAAUUCCAAAGUCUAAGCGACUUUAGAUCAUAUACUUGUCUCUUGAGAGCUUAAACGUUUGUAAUCAUGAGAGAAAUACCAAGAGAGUGACUUAGUGAGAUAGUGUGAUCUACUACUAAGUGUUUGCACUCGGAGUUGUAAUCUCUUGUUGAUUGCAUAGUGGAAUCCAGCCAAGAAGGCUGUUAUCGUGGGAGAGUGGACGUAGGCUUGGAUUAAGCCGAACCACUAUAAAUCUUUGUGUUCUUAUUCUCUUCCUUAACUCCUUUAUUUUGUUCAUACUAGCACUCUCAAUAAGAAAGCAGAGCUUGGAAUCUUCAUUGGAUACAGUCUCCAAUCAAAAUCUUACAGAAUUUUUCACCCUAUGACAGGGAAGGUGACUGUAAGCAGAGAUGUUGUUUUUCUAGAGGAAGAUGAGUGGAAUUGGAUGGAAGGAAAGAGUGCAGAACAGCAACAGUUCGAAAAACAACCUGCAACAGAUGUAGAGGUUGAUGAAGUUAUAGAUGGAUUGGAAGAUAGUGUGGAUGAUUUACCAGUGAGAGGCACAAGGUCACUUGCCGAAAUCUAUGAAAGAAGCAAUGUGGCAAUGCUCGAACCAUCUAACUUUGUGGAAGCUAAGGAGGAUCAAAGGUGGAUUGCAGCAAUGCAGGAGGAGAUUGCAAUGAUCCAGAAAAACCACACAUGGGAGCUUGUUGACAGACCAUCUAAUAAGAAUGUGAUUGGGGUUAAGUGGGUGUUUAGAACAAAACUUAAUCCUAAUGGUUCUGUCAAUAAACACAAAGCAGACUGGUGGUGAAAGGCUAUGCACAAAUAUGGGGAGUAGACUAUUCUGAAACAUUUGCUCCUGUUGCACGACUUGAUACAAUAAGGUUACUGUUAGCUAUUGCAGCAGAGAAGGGGUGGCCUAUAUUUCAGUUAGAUGUCAAGUAUGCAUUUCUGAAUGGAGAGCUUGAGGAGGAGAUUUUUGUUGAACAACCUGAAGGCUUCAGUAUCAAAGGGCAAGAAGAGAGUGUAUAUAGGUUGAAGAAAGCUCUAUAUGGACUGAAGCAAGCUCCAAGAGCUUGGUAUGGGAAGAUAGAUCGAUAUUUGUAGGAUUUUGGCUUUGUAAAAAGCUUAAGUGAGUUCACUCUUUAUGUCAAGAAGGUGAAUCACAGUGUUGUAAUUCUGUCACUUUAUGUAGAUGAUCUAUUAGUGACGCGGAAUGAUAUGGAAUUGAUAGAAAAGGUGAAGCAAGAUCUAUUUGCAGUUUUUGAGAUGUCAGACUUGGGAAAGAUGGCUUAUUUUUUGGGUCUGGAAGUCAAACAGGCUUCAUAUGAGAUCUUCAUUUGUCAGAAAAAAUACAUGAAGGAAAUUCUAAAGAAAUUUCAGAUGGAAAAUUGUCAAAGUGUAAGCACUCCUAUGGUUGCUAAAGAGAAGCUGCAAAAGAAUGAUGGAACAAAUGUAGUAGAUGCUUCUAUGUAUAAGUCUGAUUGGGUGUCUCAUGUAUCUUACAGCAACCAGACCAGAUAUUCUAUUUGCUGUGAGUGUUUUAUCCAGGUUUAUGAGUAGUCCUAGUCAGUUACAUUUGAUUGCAGCAAAAAGGGUCUUGAGAUAUCUCAAAGGAACAUUGUUCUUUGGUGUGAAGUUUAAGAAAGGUCAGAAGUUUAAUUUGCAAGGAUUUUCUGAUAGUGAUUGGGCUGGUUCAGUAGAUGACAUGAAUAAUACGUCUGGAUAUUGUUUCAGUUUUGGUUCUACUUGUUUCUCCUGGUGUUCCAAAAAGCAAGAGAUUGUAGCUCAGUCCACAGCAGAGGCUGAGUUUAUAGCAGUUUCUGCAGUUGCAAAUCAAGCUUUGUGGUUGAAAAAGAUAAUGAAGGAUCUGUGGUUGAAUUCUAGUGAUUGCAUUGAAGUUAAUGUGGAUAAUCAGACUGCUUUAGCAAUAUCUUAGAAUCCAGUUUUCCAUGGCAAAAUCAAGCAUUUCAAAGUCAAAUUUUUCUUUCUGCGUGAGGUGCAACAAAGUGGCGAAGUUAAGUUGGUCUAUUGCAGAUCUGAAGAUCAGCUUGCAUAUAUGUUCACAAAACCACUUCAAGCUGGAAGAUUUGAGUUGUUAAGAGAGAAAAUAGGAAUUUGUAGCAGCAACUGAUCCAAGGAGGAGUUUGUUGGAAUUGUUCAGCUGCUGUUUUCUGUCAUGUUUUUCUCUGUUUUACUCUUUUUAUUUAUUUAUUAAAAAACAACCAAGUUCAUUUAGUUAUGCAUUUAGUGUUUUUGCUAUUUUCUAGGAAGUUAAUAGCACGUUUGUGUGCAGUUAUGUGUUGCACGUACGUGAGCAGUUUCUGCUUUGUAUUUAGUGGUUGUACUCGACAGUUUUUUUUUCUUUAAGCACAAGACAUAUGAAGUGCUAUGCUCUGUUUUUUUUUUUUUUUUUAAUCUUUUCUCUCUCUCAAACAACAUAAAUUUUUCUGUUUUGAUUGUUGUUUUUAUGAGCUUUAACACUUUCUCCAGCCCCUGAACAUCACAAAGCUCUGAGCACCCUCUAAUGUCCAAAUCUUUCAGGUUGCUGAAGCACGAGAGUUCUGGUAAUCUUUCAAUGGAUAUGCACCCCUUGAUAUUUAAUUUUUCCAGGUUUUUCAAUCUCUCAAGGCUUUUAAUUUCGACUAGAUUGCCACAUCGGCGAAUGCUUAAUCGCUUCAGAUGUGUUAAUUUUGACAAAUCCGGUCUUACAAGGGACUGACAGUCCCAUACCCUUAGCUUUUCCAAGUUUUUCAAUUUGUCAAGGCCUAGAACUUGAACUAGAUCAUCAUUCAAUAGUGGAGCAUCUAACUCAGAAAACCCAUUCACACCCAAGAAGCUAAAAAUGUUUAGACAUUCAAGGCUUCCGAAUAAUGACAGGCGCCACAAUUUCACGAAGGAUCCAAUGCUCUUUGGAAGUCUACAUAACUUGAAGCAAUCUCUCAAGUCAAGGAUCAACAAAUUUACCAGAUGUCUAAUUGAGUUGGGAAGUCUGGCCAAUAAUCUGCAACCACUAGCAUUAAGCACCUCCAGCUUCUUCAAAGAACCUAUGCAUGGAGGAAUUUCCUUUAUCUUAGUCUUGCCUAUAUGAAGUCCCUUCAGUUCUUCCAACUUGUCCAUUUCUUCAGGUAGCUCUUGGAGUUUCUCACAAUCUUGCAAGUACAAAAAAAUGAGGCUCUUGGCUUCUCCAAUAGACGGGUGAAUUUGCUCCAAAUUAAUACAUCCAUUGAGGAUUAAUAUCUCUAAAUUUCAAAGGGUGAAAGAUCAAGAGUAACUUUUAAACAGCAGCAAUAUGUAAGAUCUAGAACUUUCAACUCCUUCGCCACCUGCAAAACAAAAUGAUUUGAUAAAUUGUUGCAAAGAGUAAGUCAUUAGAAACAAAUGACAAAACAAAAUGGUCCCCGUCUAACCUUGAGGUGACUCCAACCUUCCCAGAGAUCUGAAAUGUUACUUCUUGAUAAAUCAAGUAAAACUAAUUUCUCCAUACCAAAACUAGUGGGUACGAAUGCAGGACAUCCCGUCCACGAAAGCCAUCGUAGCUUAGGAAGCAAGCUUUUGGAAUCUCCCAUCAGUUUUGCAUUAUGCACUGCAAGGAGCCUUAAGUUCGGUAGUGUCUCAAAUUGCUCAGUUGUAAAUGCAACCUGCGAGCAGUCUCCACUGAGAAGAAGGGCCUAAACUCAAACUUUCUCAACUCCCUCCACAAAUGUUGCAUCAAAUCAGCUCUUUUCAAGCAAAAAAAAAAAAAAAAAAAACACAAUGGAUAUAUUGAGUAAUGACUUAGAAUCUAUCGAUAUUAACACCAAGUGCACAAGUAGCCAACAAGCAGCACAGAGAUAAUUGUUUAAACCAAAAUGAUUUUUUUUUUCAACUCGAUAGGAAAUGUCUACCAUUUUAUAGAUGCUAAGCACGUCAUUUCCUAAUCACAUCAAGGAAAUGAUAAAAGGAGAGUAAUCUCGGCUGUGAAGAUUAACCAUUCAUUCCAAUCAAGAGAAUUCAUGUCAAAAGAGAGUAGAACAAUAAUAGAGGUAACAAUUACCUUAGUAUUUUGAAGUACUUCCAAGGCUUCCUCAUGGAUGCACAACCUACUGCGAUUCAUAGGCGCAACGUAAUCUUCUUGAUGAACAAUUUCCCUACCAAGAUUUCUCAGUUGGUCAUGCAUUUUCAACUCUCCUUCAUCUCCAAUUUUUAUUAGCGACAUAAAACUUAAUAUUUGAAUCCCCAUCCUUGGAAGAAAAUUGCAGGCAUCCCACAUGUAGGAUGCAAAUGUAAAAUUAGCUCCAACAAAGAAACAUGCAAUAUCCAAAAAUAUCUGCUUUUCCUCAUAGGUUAAUGCCUCAUAACUUAUCCUCAGCUUCUCUUGCACUUUCAUAUGUGGUACUUCCUUUAACUUCUUUAAUGUGUCUUCCCAAAAUGCUUGGUUUCAGCCACAUAAAAAUGAACCUAUAACCUCGAGAGCUAAGGGAAGCCCUCCAGUAGUGGAUACUACAGCAUGAGAGAGAGACUCAAAUUCACAUGGAGGAGAGUCCCUUAGAAAGGCAUGUCUACUAAACAAGAUCAAAGAUUCAUCCUUGGCAAUUUCCUUGAGUUCAUACGUGCAUCUCACCUUAGCUUCAUCAAGAACGGAUCUCAUUCUUGUCGUAAUGAUUAUCCUACUUCCCAUCUCAAACCAGUCAUGUUUCCCAACCAAAGCUUUGAGCUGAUCAUUGCGAUCCACAUCAUCUAGAAGAAGUAGGACUUUCUUACAUUAAUCUAGAUCCAUAAUCCNNNNNNNNNNNNNNNNNNNNNNNNNNNNNNNNNNNNNNNNNNNNNNNNNNNNNNNNNNNNNNNNNNNNNNNNNNNNNNNNNNNNNNNNNNNNNNNNNNNNNNNNNNNNNNNNNNNNNNNNNNNNNNNNNNNNNNNNNNNNNNNNNNNNNNNNNNNNNNNNNNNNNNNNNNNNNNNNNNNNNNNNNNNNNNNNNNNNNNNNNNNNNNNNNNNNNNNNNNNNNNNNNNNNNNNNNNNNNNNNNNNNNNNNNNNNNNNNNNNNNNNNNNNNNNNNNNNNNNNNNNNNNNNNNNNNNNNNNNNNNNNNNNNNNNNNNNNNNNNNNNNNNNNNNNNNNNNNNNNNNNNNNNNNNNNNNNNNNNNNNNNNNNNNNNNNNNNNNNNNNNNNNNNNNNNNNNNNNNNNNNNNNNNNNNNNNNNNNNNNNNNNNNNNNNNNNNNNNNNNNNNNNNNNNNNNNNNNNNNNNNNNNNNNNNNNNNNNNNNNNNNNNNNNNNNNNNNNNNNNNNNNNNNNNNNNNNNNNNNNNNNNNNNNNNNNNNNNNNNNNNNNNNNNNNNNNNNNNNNNNNNNNNNNNNNNNNNNNNNNNNNNNNNNNNNNNNNNNNNNNNNNNNNNNNNNNNNNNNNNNNNNNNNNNNNNNNNNNNNNNNNNNNNNNNNNNNNNNNNNNNNNNNNNNNNNNNNNNNNNNNNNNNNNNNNNNNNNNNNNNNNNNNNNNNNNNNNNNNNNNNNNNNNNNNNNNNNNNNNNNNNNNNNNNNNNNNNNNNNNNNNNNNNNNNNNNNNNNNNNNNNNNNNNNNNNNNNNNNNNNNNNNNNNNNNNNNNNNNNNNNNNNNNNNNNNNNNNNNNNNNNNNNNNNNNNNNNNNNNNNNNNNNNNNNNNNNNNNNNNNNNNNNNNNNNNNNNAAAAUAAAAGUACUGAAUUUUGAAUAAUGAUAAAUUUUGGUUGUUGUAGAAGAUCAUGGAUUUAUUUAAAUAAAUUGAUUAUAAUUUCUUAUUAGUCAUUAGUUUCAUCAAUAAAUUUUGUUAAAGUUAAAAACAUAUUUCCAAACAUGGAUACACAUUAAUUAUGAAUAUGUUUUCGAAUUUCCAAUGAAUUGAUUUAUUAAUAUUAUUAGUGUAAAUUCAGUGUAGGCUUUUUUCUAAUUAAUUAAUUAUUUAUGAAUUUAAAUCAAAUUAAUUAAAAAUAAAAAUAUUCAUUUAAUAUACAACGUGUCCUAACGUGUCGGAAUUUUCUAUUUUUGAGAAAUGGCGUGUCGCUUGUCCGUGUCAUGUGUCGUGCUACUUAGCUCUUAACUGUCUUUGUCAUCGUCAAUUCUAGACCGUAAAUGUCUCCAUUGCAAAGUGAGUUCUUGCUGUUCUUAUUAUACUUGGUGGAGGGAAGAAUGGCAUUAGAAAUGUCAAAAAUUAUAUAUGAUGUUCACUUUAGUAUUAAUUUUUCUUUUUUGGAUCUCUCAAGUGCCAUUUUGAAAAAAAAAAAAAAUCACUUAAGUGCCAACUUCCAUCUAGCUUAUCAAAUAUCUGACGUGGCCAUAAUUUAUUAAUUUCUUAGUCCUACAUGAUUUGCCAGUGUCCUCAGUCAGCAUAUAACCCCUAAAUGACUUUGUGUAGACAAGUAGAUGAGUGAUUAUUUAAGUGCCAAAAUUAUAAAUAUGAAUCGUUUAAGUGCCAAUUAUUGUUAAAAGUGAUUAUUUAAGUGCCGGUCAUUAUCAAAAAAUAAUAUUUCACUAUAAGUCGUUGUUAAAAAGUAAUCACUUUAGUGUCAAUCUCAAUUAAAAAGUGAUUAUUGUGUGAUGUCGUUUUAAACGUCCACAUGGACUGGAUUUUUUUUAGAAAAUAUGCGAAAUCAUAUUAAUUUUUCAAUUAUAAAGGUCAUGUAAUCAAUUCGAUCAAAAUCUCUGAUCAAGGGCACUUAAGUUAUUGCUUUUUCUUUGAUUUGACAUUUAAGUGAGCUAGCAAAAAAAUUUGAUAUUAAAGUGAGCAUUAUGUAUUAUUUUUGACAUUUCUAAUGUCUUUCUUCUCCCUUUAGUGGAGCUUACAUUUCUAGACUAGAUGUUCAUUCUAUAAAUCAAUAAUACGUGUCGAGUGGGAUACAUGAAACAGUGACGGUAUAGAUAAUUGAGCUCCAAUAAUACGUGUUCGUUCUAUUUACAUGAAAUCUAUGCAUAAUGAAGACUUUUUGUGACCAUGUAGGAUCGAGUUUUUUGCAAUUUAUACUUCAACACGGGGAAAGUAUAAUAGUUUCCUUGUAAACCAGGAAAAUUACUUGGCUAUUUUGGAUGAUUUUGAGCUCGAAAUGAUCACUCGACUGUACCUGUGCCAUAUUUAUAGCGUCACUAAUAAAGAGGAAGGAAGGAAAGUAGGAGCCAAGGUGGCAGGAUGAAGUGUGAGAUAGAGUUUAAUUGAUAAUUCAAAAAAUCUCUCAAAGUAUCAUACGUUUCAUAUGUCCAUAUUGAAAAUUAGAGAUCUCUUCAAUUAAUACAAUCGGGUGGUUCUACGUAUAAGUUUAUGUUCUAAUUCAGAAGCUAUUGUUAGUUGGAGAGUUCAACUCCCUCUCUCUGUUUAAUGAAGAAAGAACAUGAAGACGUCUUCCCGUUGCUCCAGAAGAAAAAAAAGAAAAAGAAAAGCUAAGUUGAACAAGACAUACUAUAGCAUAGCUUUCUGAAUUAAUUUGAAAACAUGUGAACGUGUUGCUAACUUGCUAUAGCAUUUGAAGUGAACACAUGAUUGAACUAGACUUACAUGCCAAAUUGCAUAGCUUUCUGAACGAGUUUGGGCACAUUUGGAAAAGUUAAAGCAAGUCGAACUAGACUUUCCACUAUAAAGGAAAACUUAGAGCAGACCCGCUCAUAAUUGGGGGGCCAGUGGACGCAGAGAGUCAAUUAGAGGGGGCCACUUUGAUUGACUCUUUGGUCCACUCUAAUUGACUCUUUGCACUUGUAGGCCGCCAAAUAAUGACCGGCAUCUUGCUUUUUCCCCGAUGGAUGACUUUUGGAAUUAGUGUUAGGAAUGCAAACAUUUUCAAUUUUGCAUUUUUUGGCUAAAUUAGAAGACUGAGAUUGGUAGAGUAAGCAAUGCAGCAUGCUCUUAUUGGUGUUAAGUAGUGAUCGCAAGCAUUGACUAAGAUUGGUAGAGUAAUCAACAAUUUGAUUUUCUUUAAAAUUAUGAACAUUAAUAAAAGAAUAUGAUAAGUGUACUGAAAGUCCUAAAACUUAUCAUAAACUCCUUAAAGGCUCCCUCUCCAUGCACUAAAAUACUUACAUUAUAGAUUGCUAUCUGAUGGGCCAUAUUUUCCUUAUCACAUGCAAUUCGUACCAAACACUCCUUAAUUGAAUCUUCACCUCUAUCCGGUAUCUCCAAUUGAGCGGGCAAAAGAUUUUUAAUGCUUGAUUGUCAUGUUACUCAAUAAAUUUGAACAAGAUUAAGCUUUGCAAGCAUCUAUAAAAUAAAAGCCAUACAAUAGUGACAAGAUAUACAUUUCUCAAACAAACUACUGAGAUUAAUAUCUUAAAUUUGAAUGCAAUUUAUCAAGACCAAACUUAGAGUCAAAACUCAUUUUAUAAUUUAUAUUUAUAUUUAAUCCAAAACCAAAGCCCAAAUUUAUUUUAAGAUAGAGCUUGAUUGAUAAUUCCAAAAUCUCUCAGAGUAUCAUACAUUUUAUAUGUCUAUAUUGGAAUAUAGAGAUACCUUAAAUUUAACUCAAGAGAAACUAGACUUACUAUAGUUUAGCUUUCCGAAUGAGUUUGAAUGCAUGUGGCCAUGUUGAUAACUUGCUAUAGCAUAUAAUGAAAACACACGACUGAACUAGACUUAUUGGCCAAAAAUUGCAUAGCAUUCUGAGUUUCGGCGCAUUUGAAAAAGUUAAGCGAAGUUGAACUAGACUUCCCAUUAAAAAGAAAAUUACAGCAGCCCCACUCACUUUGUGGGGGCCAACGAAUGCAGAGAGUCAGUUAGAGUGGCCCGCUCAGAUUGAUUGUUCCAAAAAGUGACUGACAUCUUGCUUUUUCCCCAUUGGAUAACUUUUGGACUUAGGCUGCGUUUGGGAGUGGCAUUUGCAAGCCACUUUGAACCCCCAAAGCUCUUUGGGCUAAUUUGUAGGUGUUUGGUAAAAAUUUCCAAACCCCAUUUGGGGAAUGCCAAGCAUUCCCAAGGCUGAAAGCCCAAGGCAGGUGGGGGGCUGCCUUGGGCUUUCAGCCUUCUCGGCAUGCUGAGCUGAGCUUAAAUAAAAAAAUUUCCUUCCCAAAUUGUCCCCGUUGAUUUUUCGUUUUUCCCUUUUUAUCCUGACUGUUCAUCUUCUUCUUCUUUCUUCUUUGUGAGCGGUUGUCGACGAAGGGCACGCAAUCGCCGGCGACCGUCGCGCCUGCCACGCCGACUCGCCGCACCACGACCUCUGCCACGGCCGCGCGACCCUUCGGCGAGGGUCGCGUGACCCCGCUCGAGAGGUCGCCGCGAAGGUCGCGACCGCGACCCAUUUGGUCGGAGAUCUGGUCGCCAGCCGCGACCUUUGCACUGCGACCAGAUGGGUCGCCAGUUGCGACCUUCAAGCGACCUUCGCGGAGAUCGCGACGCAGAUCUGCGUCGCCGGCCGUGCUUUAGGCGACCUCCACGGAGGUCGCGACCUUCGCGACACCCAUCUGGUGGCGACCUUCGCGCGACGCAUCUUGUCGCAGAUCUGGUCGCGACCACGCCGGCCGCAACCUUCACGCGCGACCAGAUGGGUCGCCGGCGACCUCUGCGGCGCGGUGGGUCGCACGACGGAUUGCCUACCCUUGGUCGGCGGUGACCAGUGAAGCCCUUGGCCAGUGAAGCCCUUGGCCGGCGAAGCCUUGGCCGGCGAAGCCUUGGCCGGCGAAGCCUUGGCCGGCCAAUGUUCUCUUUUUUUUUAAUAAUAAAAGUAUUUUACAAAUUUAAUUUACCCAAACAUUAUUUUGCAUAAAGAUAUUUCACAAUGGACUUUCACAAAUAAAUUUACCAAACACAUUUUGCAUUUUGAAAAACACCCUUAACUCAAAGGCCUUUACCUUUUCUCAAUGGCUUUUCCCAAAAGUCUUCCCAAACGCACCCUUAGUGCUGCAAACAUAGAUUCUUUUUUUAAAAAAAAUAUUUGGGCUAAAUCAGAAGACUAAGAUUGGCAGAAUAAUAUGGCAGGCUCUUAUUGGGCGCUAGGUUGAGAUACCAAGCAUUGAUCUUUGUGUUUGUGUGGAAUGAGAAGCUUAUUAAGCAAACUCGCACUGGCAGUGUUUGUUCUUGGAAUGAGGCACAUUGUUAACUCGAUAGGAAGAUCUGAGAGUGGACCGAGAUGGAGAUCCUCUAUGCGUAGAGUUCUCUUCCCUUUGCCUUUUGUUUCUCACACGGAAGCAAUUAUUACUAUGCUAUACACGAGAAUAGACUUGCGAAAGCAAGGAAAAAGAAAGAAAGAGAAGCACAAUAAAUCACAUUAUACUAGCCUACAGACUCGUGCAUGGACUUGCGGAAUAGAUUACAAGAAAUAACCUUCCUAGAAGUGUACCAAAUUGUGCGGUAAGAGAUUGUUGUCAUACAGAAAGUGACUGUGGGUCCUUGAACUAUAAGGCAAACAUUUUAGUUCGAUUAAAGUGAAAAAAAAAUCAAAGCUAAUUUUUUUUCAAAAGAAUUUUAAGAUCGAUGUCUCUCAUAGAAAGUGCCACUUUUCGCCCACCCAUUAAAAGCAGUCACUCAUUGAAAGUGUUUUGGAGUAUCACUUUAUAUUGAUCCAACAACAUAGAUUCACUUUAUCUAUUUUAGGUCUAUACAACGAACAUAAUGGAAUUUAUAAACUUAAUUCUAAGAUCUGUAAAAUAAUGCUUUCUUUUCUUGUGCAGGCACAUCAACAAUAUGCUUUUCGUCGCCUGUGAAGUAGGCGUCCUUGUGGUCCAUCCAUGCCCUUUCUUUUGGGUAUGUAGGAUUGAGCUGUUGUCGGGACCCACCGUUUUGCACGAGCUGGUAUGAUAUUUUUUACUCAUAGCUAAAUCUAUCAAAAUGAGACUUAAAUUUUGAAGAAUAUACUUAAAUGAAUUUAAAAUUUGAAAGCCUGAAGUAAAUAGAUCUAAAUGGAUUGGACUUAGAACGCAUUUCCACUCAAGCUCACACAUUCUCAUUUCCUCUUUAGCCUUUAAUAUAUAUAUAUAUAAAUCGAAAUUAUAAUUAUAUUUUAUAUUUCCUUUGUCUUUUCUUAUUUCUUUUCUUUUUUUUCUUCCCCUCCUUCUUCCAUCUUCGACAAUGGUCGGUAACUAGCCAGGCUAGGGAUGAGCUCAAGUCUCGCUAAAUCGACGAGACUUGAGCUCAAGCUUGAGCUUGCUUAUGAUCAGUCACCGGCCGUUGUCAUGGUUAGCAAUUGGCCAAAAAAGAAGGAAAAAGAAAAAACAAAUCUAUUUUUAACAAAAAAAUUAAAAAUUCGAUUUUUUUAAAAAGAAAAAAAUAUUAAAAGGAGUGUAUGGAGGAAAAUUUAAUCAUAUAAUUCAUACUAAACAAUAGAAAAAAUUUUCUAAUUUAUUUUCAGAUUUUAGAUAAAAACCAAAAAAUAUUAUAAUUUUCCCAAAAAAAAAUACUUAUUGGAACAUAUUUUCCAAGAAAUAAAUUGAGGCUUAUUUUAAAAAAAUUAAAAAAUAUUUACUAGAUUUGUAUUGCAUGAAAAUGUUUUACAAGACCAUUUAAUAAAAAAUCAUAAGAAAUAAACUUUCUUAUGUUUAGUUUAAUAGGUCGAGUGUGGAUAGGGAGUGGGUCAGGUUGGGUAUGGGUUAAGAAUUUUGUAUUACCAUAAAUGAGUCAUAAAUUAUUUAUAUAGAUCGAUUUAGGUAUAAUUAUUUAUGACUUGACCCAAAUUCAACUCGAUUCACUUGUUGGACAGCUCUACUCAUAAUGUCAAUUCCAAAACCUAAAUAUCUAGGAUUGGUGGGUCUCCUUUGUAAAGUGCGUUCCGGUUGUUCUUGUUAGACAUGGUGGGGCUUACCUUUUUAAACUAGACGUCCAUGCCUUAAAUGAAUGAUCCGUGUUAAAGUGGUGAUGCUUGAUAUGGUGAUGGCAUAAAUUAUUGAGCUCUUUAGAAUGGUCAUUGUUCAAUUUGUCAGUACUUUCCAUGAUAUAUAAUUCAUGAUGUCCAUUUUAUCUAUAUGAUAUUUAUGCGGAGCGAAGACUUUUUGUGAUCAUGCAGAGUCGAGUUUUUUGCAAUUCAUACUUAUAGGCGGUGAAAAGUACGGUGGUCUUUGGAAACUAGGAAGAUUACUCAACUAUUUUGGAUGGUUUUGAGCUCCGAACUAUCACUCGACUAUCCUGCCACAUAACUUUCACUGAUAAGGAGGAAGGAGGGAAAGCAAGGGGUGAGGUGGGAGAUGAAUUGCGAGAUAGAGCUUCACUGAUAAUUCAAAGGAUCUUCAAAAUAUCAUACAUUAAUACGUUCAUAUUGAGAAUCUAGACAUGCCUUCGAGUUUCAAGCAACUACUCUAGGCAUAUAUCCAAUGGCGGUUUUACCUCUAUGUUCUGAUUCAGAAGGUUCAUCUCUCUCUCUCCCUAUUUAAUAAAGAAAGGGGAUAAGCACGAUAUAAGUAUUAUAAUCUUCGUUCAAUCAAAACUUUUUAUUCGAUUAUUUGGGCACUUUCACUUGAGCGUCAUAACUUUAAAUCGAUCACUCAAAUGUCAUAAUUAUUCACUUAGGUGUUGAAAAUAUGAUGUCACAUGGCACUUGUGAUGAACAUUUUUAAAAAGUUAUAAUAUGAUCAAUUAAAAAGUUAUAUGGCACUUAAGUGAUCAAUUAAAACGGUAUAUGGCACUUAAGUGAUUAAAUAAAAAGUUAUAGCUUAAGUUAUGAUGUUCAUGAUGCGCUUUUUCCUCAAUAAUGAAUGGGAAGAAUCUUUCCUGUUGCUGAGGAAAAAAAUAAGCAAGUUGAACUAGAUGUAAUUUUCUGGAUUAGUUUGAACGCAUGUUGAUAACUUUUAUUUCGGUCAAAUUCAAAACCUAUUCCCAUUGCCCGAGGAGAAAAGCAAGUUGAACUAGACUUUCCAGUAAAAGGAAGAAAGAAACGCAAAUGACAGAUUAUUGUUUGGAGGCGAGCCGCUCUAAAUGACUCUUCGCACUCGUAGGUCCCCAAAAAAUGACUGGACGCUACUCUAAUUGACAAAUCUGCACUUGUAGGCAUCCCAAAAAUGACUGGCAUCUUGCCUUUUCUUCAGUGGAUGACUUUUAAAAUCAGCGCUACGAACGCAAACAUUUUUAGUUUUGUAUUUUGGGGCUAAAUCAUGCCCAAGCCAGCAACUUCGGGGUGUCGCUAGGCUAACGGGCAGUAACAGCAAACUUUUCCAGCCAUCUAUCCCAUAUUCAGCGUGAGGAGCGACCGAAAGGUCAAGGUUGGUCUUUUUGUCUUAUUUUAGCUGUUUUUUUUCUGCUUAAAAAUUUAAUUUAGGUUACGUGCAAUCGUUUUGCAACACUCGCAUUAAACAAGAUUAAAAAAAAAAAAAAAACUCAGACACACAUUGGAAGUGCCAAAAUAAGACAUAGACCCAAUUUUUUUACUCAUAUGUCUGGGGUUGGGCUCUUAAUGAGUUAUUAGACAUUUUAACGGAUUGGUGAAAAUAGAUUUAAAAUAUUAAAUCUAGCUAUGUGCAUGACACGUCGAAGGGUGUGAAACGGAUGUCAUGGCUAUCAGAAUGGUGGGCCCCACAAUAAAAUAUCUCCGGAAAGCCCUCGUAAAGUCACAUAUUCGAGCCAUUAUCUUCACUUUCACUUUUAAAUUUUCAGCUAAAAUAGAAAUAUCAUUAAAUAUAAAAAAUUGCAAAAAUAAACUUUUAGGUGACUUUAGACUUUACUACAUAUGUCCUCAAGGUUUUUUUUUUUUUUUUUUAAUAAAAUUUCCUUAAGGUUUUUGGCCACAUUUCAAUGAUAACGAUUCUAAAAAACACAACAAAAGUUGAGCUUGAUAGAUAUAAUUCACAUCUUUGUAAUUCGUACCAGACACUCAUUAACCGAAUCAUCAACUCUAUUUAGCAUCUGCAAUUGAGUAGCUAAGAGAUGUUUUAUGCUUAAUUGUCAUGUUACCUAGAUAUAUUUGGACAAGGUCAAGCUUUGCAAGUGUCUAGGAAAUAAAAACCAUACUUUAGUGGCAAGAUAUAAAUUUCUUGAACAAACUUUUGAGAUUGAUGCGUCGAAUUGGAAUGCAAUUUAUCAAGACCAAACUCCAAAUCAAAACUCUUUUAAUAAUUUAUGGAUGGCCUAAAACACUUUUAUAUUUAACCCGAAACCAAAGCCCGAAUUUGUUUUAAGAUAGAGCUUGAUUGAUAAUUCAAAAAAUCUAUUAGAGUAUCAUACAUUUCAUAUGUCUAUAUUAGGAAUAUAGAGAUACCUUAAAUUUUAGGCAACUAUUUUAGGCAAAUAUACCCAGUAGUGGUUCUAACUCAAAAGGUGAUGAUUGUUGGACAUUUUAACUCUAAUUGAACUAGACUUACCAUAGCGUAGCUCCCUGAAUGAGUUUGAAUGCAUGUGAACACGUUGAUAACUUGCUAUAGCAUACACUCUAAACACACAAUUGAACUAGACUUCCUAGCCAAAAAUUGCGUAGCUUUCUGAAUGAGCUUGGGCGCAUUUGAAAAAGUUAAGAAAAGUUGAACUAGACUUUCCAUUAAAAAGGAAAAUUACAAUCAUCUUGCUCGUUUUUUAGGGGCCAGCAAAUGCAAAGGAGUCAAUUAGAGUGGGUUGCUUUGAUUGACUCUUUGCACUUGUAGGCCCUAAAGAUUGACCGGCAUCUUGCUUUUUCCCUAAUGGAUGACUUUUGGAAUUAGUACUCCAAACGCAAAAUUUUUUAAUUUAUAUCUUUGGGCUAAAUCAAAAGACUAAGAUUAGCAUAAUUAAGCAAGGCGGCAGGCUCUUAUUGGGUGUUUGGCAGAGAUAUUUUUGUUUGUGGCCGGCCGGCCACGUCCUCCCUUUGUGGGGGAAGACCCCUUCAUUUCCUUGUACCUAGUCUAGUCUACUAGGAUAAGGGCGUCGCGGUGAUCCAGGUGGGUUCCGAANNNNNNNNNNNNNNNNNNNNNNNNNNNNNNNNNNNNNNNNNNNNNNNNNNNNNNNNNNNNNNNNNNNNNNNNNNNNNNNNNNNNNNNNNNNNNNNNNNNNUCGCGAGGGGUCAACCAGGGAUCCCCCAUUAGACUUGGCUUGUUAACGGAGCCCAUCCCGGGGUAGUUUACCGACCUGCCCAGGUUGAGUGGAAUGAGAAACUUAUUAAGCAAACUGGCACUUGCAGUGUUUGUUCUUGGAAUGAGGUAUGUUGCUAAGCUGCUAAGCCUGCACAAAUCGAAGGAAUAUUCCAGUGGACCGAGAUGGAGGUCCUCCGUUCAGUGAAGAAUGGGUUUGUAGGGCUAAUAUAAUGCAAUCUAUCACGCUCUGCUCUUUAUUUCUUCAUCCUUGGUUUCACAAAUCUAUUAUCGUGCAAUUGCUUUUUUUUUUUUUUUCUUUUUUCAGAAACAAAAAGCGAAGGAAAGAGAUAUCUUACCUUUACCCAAAAAAAAAAAAAAAGCAAAGGAAAGAGACUUUACCAAAAAAAAGCAAAGGAAAGAGAAUUUCUUUAUGCAACAGAGGAUCCCCAUCUCAGUCCUCUCUAAGAUCUUCCUUGGAUCCACACAGGCUCAAUAACUUAACAAUGCACCCCCAUUCCAGGAACAAACGCUGAAAGCAAAAAGAUCGAUGCUUGGUAUCUCCACCGAACACCCAAUAAGAGCCCACCAACUACCCCCAAAACAUGAGCAAAGCCACUUUAAAUUUUCCUUUUUAAUGGAAAGUAUAGUUCAAAUUGCUCAACUUUUUUCAAAUGUGCCUAAAGUCAUUUAGAAAGCUAUGCAAUUUGGCCUGUAAGUUUAGUUCAAUCAUAUGUUUGCUUUAGAUGCUAUAGCAAGUUAUCAACAUGUUCACAUGCGUUCAAACUCAUUCAAAUAGCUACACUAUAGUAUGUCUAGUUCAACUGGCUUUCUUUUUCUUCCCGAGCAACAGGAAGUCUUUUUCAUGUUCUUUCUUUAUGUGAUAGAGAGAGAGAGAGAGAGAGAGAGAGAGAGAGAGAGAGAGAGAGAGAGAGAGAGAGGAUCCAACUACCAAUAACUUCCAACUUAGAAUGUAGAAGUAUAACUAUCUAAUUGUAUUGCCUAAAAUUUGAAGGCCUCUGGAGUUCUAAUAUGGACAAUUGAAAUGUAUGAUAAUUUGAGAACUUUUAUGACUUAUCAAUCAAGCAAGUUAAUAAUUAUGAACAUGGAAAAAACAAUUUGGACUUUCCUUCACUACAACGUUAAUAAUCCAACUGAAAUUUCCACUUGUGACGUUUAUCGUCUUUAAAUUCCUACAUAUUAUUAAUUGAUAUAAGAACUUUUAGAUGUGGCAUGUGCAUGGCACAUGUUAAGGGAAAAGGUUAUUGGGGUUAACUAGUGUAUAAUUAUAUGAGUUCAGGUUUAGGGGAGGAGGAAUGCAAAUUAAUGAAGAACUUCAAAGUUAUGAGGGUAAAAUAACAUUUUCCCUAAAUGUAAGAAUGAGGUUUCACGUUCAUGGAACCUUAAGAGUGUCAUGACAAUUUAUCUAAUUUAAAGUGAUUUUCCUCAUUUUUAAACGAUGUAGUUGCAUUUAAUAACGGUUAAUAUUUUCUUUUGUACUUGGUUAGGAAAAUUUCCUCCAAUCGUAUCUUUGAUUGGUGUCUAAAUUAUGAACUGUAAACUUAAUUAAAUCUAAAUGUGAGUGGUCUUCAUAUUUGUAACCCACCAAUUAGAGGCAUAGCAUGUGAUAAGGAAAAUAUGGCCCAUUAGAUAGUAAUCUAUGAUGUAAGUAUUUUGGUGCAUGGAGAGAGAACCUCUACAGAGUUUGUGACAAAUUUUAGGAUUUUUAGUACACUUGUCAUAUUGUUUUAUUUAAGUUCAUAAGUUAAAGAAAAUCAAAUUGUUGAUGUUCUAGCGAUGAAAAGAAAGCAAUUUUUUUGGAGCUUAGAAUUAAGCUCAUAAAAUCUAUUAUGUCCGUUGUAUGGAUCUAAAAUAGAUAUAGUGAAUCUAUUUUGUUAGAUAAAUGUAAAGUAAUGCUCCAAAGCACUUUCAAUGAGUGGCCACUAUUUUAGAUUCACCGCAUCUAUUUUAGAUCUAUACAUUAGACACUACUUAUUUUAUAAGCUUAAUUCUAAGCUCCAAAAAAUAAUGGUUUCUAUUUUUGCGUGAGCACAUCCGCGAUUUGCUUUUCAUUAACUUAUUAAUUUUAAUAAAAAUUAAUAAAUUUAGGACUCCAAAAUUAAUAAAUUUGAUUAUCGGACAUUGAUGUUCUUACUUCUUCUUUUUUCAACUUUUGGCCCAAAUGUUAUCAAUACUAUUGGCUUUGCAGUUUUUUUUUUUUAAUAUUAGACAACUUAUUAUAAUGAUGAAUAGUUUAAUUAUGGGAUCUCUUGUUAUGCUUGUCUUUAAUUUUUCUUGAGCCAAUCUGCAAUUUUUGAAAGGAAGCAAGCAACACAAAAUAUGACAUAGUUGAGAAAUUAAGAAAAAAGGAAAGUAAAAAAAAAACAAAGUGAGUUAGGUGUCCAUAAACGCACAUCAACUCCUCAAGGCUCCCUCUCCAUGCACCAAAAUACUUACAUUAUAGAAUAUUGUCUAAUAGGCCAUGUUUUCCUUAUUCCACGUCAUACUAAUUGAUGGGUUACAAGUAUGCAAAACACUCGUAUUUAAUUUUAGUUAAGUUUACAGUUCCUAACUUGGACACCUAUCAAAGGUAUGGUUAAGAAUCAUAUAUAAAGAACUAGAGAUUUGUUUAAGUGACCAUCAAAAGCAAAUAGCUGUGUAAAAUUUCUAUGUGAAUGUGCUACGUGACUCAGCCUCAUGUGAGGUUUACCCACUUUAUAUGUUUGUGCACUUGCGCUUUGAUGGCGUCAAUGGGUACUUCAGGCAAUUACAAAGUUUUCUAGCCACAAAUGCGCUUCAAUAGCCGCGCAUAGCUCCAACACAUGAGACUUAGUUGGAUUUAUUUUCAGGCAAUGCAUUUUGCACAUUUAGUCUGUCAGAUGAGAUCAAUGACCUAUGAGGAAAUAACGAGAUAUUAAUUUAUUUCAGGAAGCAUGAGUAAUUUGAGCUCUAGGGCAAUUUUUGCACAACCUAUAAAUAUAUAUAUAUAUAUAUAUAUAUAUAUAUAUAUAUUUGCUAAUAAUAUUUCUUAUAUGAUUAUUGAUGUAUUUGAUAUUUCACAUUUAUAUAUUUAUUGACUUACAUACUGGAGAAGGGAAGAAAAGCAAAUAAGAAGAAGGGGGCUGGUGCCAUGAGACAAAUUUGACCAGCUUUGAGCAAAUUAAAUGGUCCUCCGUUGGAACGGUGGAGUUUGAACAGGUAAUGCCAUGUCUCGGUCCAAUUCUUCUAUAAUUUCCUGUUUCAAUUUUGUUCAACUUGAAUUUGUGACCUUUAUUCCACGGUAAGUUUGACAUAGUUAUUGUCUCAAAUGGAUUACGUCUUCCCGAAGGCACAAGUUCAAGACGUGGAAAAGCUCGAGAAAUUCCAUGCUUUCAACAACAGGAGAUGGAGCACGAAGAUGUGCUGCCAAUUGAUUGUUUCACAGUUUGGCUAUGCUCUAAGAACUACAUGUACGAGAUGAAUCUUCCAAUAGGGAACUCAUCGAGGUCCAAAGAAGCGAAUGGAAAAUGACCGAAACAACCUAUUCAUGAUCCACGACGCAAUGGACAACCCUCUUUUCAACAUCCUCACAUGAAUCGACGGUUAAUGAUGUUUGGAAAGGCGUCCGAUAGAGGCACGUAAAUGAGAACACCAGUAACAUCUUUCUUGGUUAACAAGUACCUCGAUUAUAAAAUGAUCAUUCUAUGCCUAUCACCGAUGAGGUCAACGAAUUGAGAGAUAUUGUAACUGCGUAUGCAGAUGCGGAUGAAUCAAUCUCCAAGACCUUUCUCGUUUCUAUGGUCGUUGGUAAACUUCCAUCUCCAUGGAAAGACUGCCAAGAGCUUUUAAGCAUUAGAAAGAGUCUUUUGAGUUUGGAUCGAUGCUUCAAGGCAUUUAAGUUGAAAGUUAGGCCAGAAAUCAUGAUGUAUUUGAAAACCAAGCAAAAAGUGAACAAAGUUCAUGAUGUUGAGGAACCGGCAUCUAGUAAUUUUAGGGAAUUUUUGAACGAGACUUGCUUUCGGAGUGGCAAAAUGGAUCAUGGGGCUCCCUUUUGCUAAGACGAAAGAAGAAUGAAGCCAAUUUGGCGGAGGACAAUGACGUGGUUGCGAUGAUCAUGGGGGUUCUCAUGGCGAACGAUGAUGAAGGUUGGUGGAUUGACUCCAGCGAAACUUGCAAUGUUAUUCCCCACAAGAUGAAAAAUAUUUACGCUCUCUCGGACAACCCUGUCAAUGAGUCGCCUGAUCCGUCUAUGUUAGGUUACCAAAAGUUAAGUUUCGUGCGAGUAUUCUAUCCCAAAGACAACGAAGGAAUUCAAGAAGUUUGAUACAAGAUUACGUGUGAGUGUAUGCCUGUGAAGAGAUGACAUGUUGUUUCCAGGAGCACAUAAUAGCACGAGGCAACAACUCUAUCAAUGAUUUAGUGCAUGGUACCGACUUAAAUUGAUAUCUAUUUGUAAGAUUUAAGAGGAUUUUGCUACUUGCAAAUUGAGCUAUUUGGUACUGGCAAAGUGAAAGAUAGAAAAAAGGAAAAAAAAAGAAAAAAAAAACAGUUCUAUGAUUUUCUUUGAUACUUAACUUAAUUUGAUAAAUUAGUAAAUGUAGAUUUUUGACAUCCCAACAUGUCGUUUAUUCUGAUUUCGCUCAACAUAACAUCGCCAAAUUAAUAGGUAUAAAUUCCCUCUUGAAUGUGAAGAAGAACUCAUCCAUUUCCGAUGGAAUCAAGUGAGAGAACGGAGAAUUGAACUUAAUUGAUUUGGUAUGAUAUUAAGGAAUGAAAAGUCGAAUUCAUGGUAAUUGAAGGUACUUUAUUAGAGGAGAAAAUAGUAAUUCCAUCAAAAGAGUGAUUUCAUGAUUACAAAAUAUUUCCUACAACCCAGUUAGACAAAAUUCCUUCCCACUUAUACUGUUGAUUGGUGGGUUACAAGCAUAGAUCUCAAAUUCAAUUUUGAUUAAAUUUAUAUGCAGCUCAUGUACAUAAUUUAUAACCCACCAAUAAGAGGUAUGGUUGAAGAAAAUUCUGCCUUUAUAAAAUUGGCUCGUUGAGUGUAUCAAAUGUUGCAUUGGUCUUUGAUGGGUGGGCUUAAACGACCAACAAAAAUUUGAUAAAUGCAAACUUUGCAAAUCAAUUUUGCUGACUACCCUUUGAGAUCAAUAAUCGUAACAUCAUCUCUUUGACGUAGACGAACUUAGAAACGACGGCAUGGCAAAAAAGCUGCUGCUAUGUAGGGAUGCUGUACCAUAUUGUGUAGACCGAAAGAGAACUUCCCACGCAGGAACCUUAUAAGCAGCCGUUGCUGCCUGCUAUCCGUUAUGUUGAGAACGGUCGACUGAUUCGGUUUUGGAGUUUGUGUGGUGCUGUUGCAACCUGAUGACACUGGUCGUGGAAGGAGCGGAGCAAAGUCAGCUGCUAUGGAGUGCGGAAGAGAAGAAGACCAAAGCGCAAAAAGAACAAAUAUGUGACAGGCUGAGUUUAAAAAGAAUGAUGCGACAUUUUCACCUAGUUAGACCUGUAAUGCAUUGCUAAUAAUUUUGUGACAUGGUGCAGAAAUCUCUCAUAGAGUGAAAUUUAAUAUGUUGAGAUACUUAUUAGGUAAAGAUAAGUUUAGGUAUCUAAUGAAUAAAAGUCCAAGCAUUUGCAACAUCAUUAUCUGAAAAAUGACUGGCAAGCGUACGUGUGGUCCAUCAUAAACGAAAUCAAGCUCACGAAGUUACCUUUUCUAUUUCCUACAUAUGAAAUAUCAAGCUCACCAAAGUUUUCAAUGAAUGGAUCAUAAGAAAGUUCUUUUAUUGGGGAGGGAGAAAAAAGCAGUUGGCAGAGGAUGACCAGAAGGUAAAAGGAAAACCUUACAAGCCAAGUUCUGGGAGUAAGUAGGAGCAAGAAAAUUUCGAAAGCUAAGUUAAUUCGCACCAGAGAUGUAUCAAGUGAUGUUUUAGCCUCAGGUACCACUGACAUAGUUUAGUGCCCAAAACUGGAAAAAGUCCUAAAUCUACGGCUUCUCUUUGACCAAACUGUUAAAACUCAUAAAAACAACAAUCAAAACAGAAAAAUUUCUGUUUUUGAGAGAGAGAAAAGAUUAAAAAAAAAAAAAAAAACAGAGCAUUUCAUACGUCUUGUGCUUAAGAAAAAAAACUGUCAAGUACAACCACUAAAUACAAAACAAAAACUGCUCACGUACGUGCAACACAUAACUGCACACAAACGUGCCAUUAACUCCUAGAAAAUAGCAAAAACCACUAAAUACGUAACUAAAUGAACUUGGCUGUUUUUUAAUAAAAAAACAGAGUAAAACAGAGUAAAAAGAAAACUGAAAUAGCAGAAAACAGAGACAUUAUAAUCCAACAAACUCCUCCUUGGAUCAGUGCUACUGCAUACUCCAAUUUUCUUUCUUAAUACUUCAAAUCUUCCAGCUUGAAGUGGUUUUGUGAACAUGUCUGCAAGUUGAUCUUCAUAUCUGCAAUAGACCAACUUAACUUCGCCACUUUGUUGCACCUCACGUAGAAAGAAAAAUUUGACUUUGAAAUGCUUGGUUUUGCCAUGGAAAACUGGAUUAUGAGAUAUUGCUAAAGCGGCCUGAUUAUCCACAUUAAUUUCAAUGCAAUCACUGGAAUUCAACCACAAAUCCUUCAUUAUCUUCUUCAGCCACAAAGCUUGAUUUGCAGCUGCAGUAGCUGCUAUAAACUCAGCCUCUGCAGUAGACUGAGCUACAAUCUCUUGCUUUUUAGAACACCAGGAGAAACAAGCAGAACCAAAAUUGAAACAAUAUCCAGACGUACUCUUCAUGUCAUCUACUGAACCAGCCCAGUCACUAUCAGAAAAUCCUUGCAAAUUAAACUUCUGACCUUUCUUAAACUUCACACCAAAGAACAAUGUUCCUUUGAGAUACCUCAAGACCCUUUUUGCUGCAAUCAAAUGUAACUGACUAGGACUACUCAUAAACCUGGAUAAAACACUCACAGCAAAUAGAAUAUCUGGUCUGGUUGCUGUAAGAUACAUGAGACACCCAAUCAGACUUCUAUACAUAGAAGCAUCUACUGCAUCUAAUCCAUCAUUCUUCUGCAGCUUUUCUUUAGCAGCCAUAGGAGUGCUUACACUUCGACAAUCUUCCAUCUAAAACUUCUUUAGAAUUUCCUUCAUGUAUUUUUUCUGACAGAUGAAGAUCUCAUAUGAAGCCUGUUUGACUUCCAAACCCAAAAAAUAAACCAUCUUUCCCAAGUCUGACAUCUCAAAAACUGCAAAUAGAUCUUGCUUCACCUUUUCUAUCAAUUCCAUAUNNNNNNNNNNNNNNNNNNNNNNNNNNNNNNNNNNNNNNNNNNNNNNNNNNNNNNNNNNNNNNNNNNNNNNNNNNNNNNNNNNNNNNNNNNNNNNNNNNNNNNNNNNNNNNNNNNNNNNNNNNNNNNNNNNNNNNNNNNNNNNNNNNNNNNNNNNNNNNNNNNNNNNNNNNNNNNNNNNNNNNNNNNNNNNNNNNNNNNNNNNNNNNNNNNNNNNNNNNNNNNNNNNNNNNNNNNNNNNNNNNNNNNNNNNNNNNNNNNNNNNNNNNNNNNNNNNNNNNNNNNNNNNNNNNNNNNNNNNNNNNNNNNNNNNNNNNNNNNNNNNNNNNNNNNNNNNNNNNNNNNNNNNNNNNNNNNNNNNNNNNNNNNNNNNNNNNNNNNNNNNNNNNNNNNNNNNNNNNNNNNNNNNNNNNNNNNNNNNNNNNNNNNNNNNNNNNNNNNNNNNNNNNNNNNNNNNNNNNNNNNNNNNNNNNNNNNNNNNNNNNNNNNNNNNNNNNNNNNNNNNNNNNNNNNNNNNNNNNNNNNNNNNNNNNNNNNNNNNNNNNNNNNNNNNNNNNNNNNNNNNNNNNNNNNNNNNNNNNNNNNNNNNNNNNNNNNNNNNNNNNNNNNNNNNNNNNNNNNNNNNNNNNNNNNNNNNNNNNNNNNNNNNNNNNNNNNNNNNNNNNNNNNNNNNNNNNNNNNNNNNNNNNNNNNNNNNNNNNNNNNNNNNNNNNNNNNNNNNNNNNNNNNNNNNNNNNNNNNNNNNNNNNNNNNNNNNNNNNNNNNNNNNNNNNNNNNNNNNNNNNNNNNNNNNNNNNNNNNNNNNNNNNNNNNNNNNNNNNNNNNNNNNNNNNNNNNNNNNNNNNNNNNNNNNNNNNNNNNNNNNNNNNNNNNNNNNNNNNNNNNNNNNNNNNNNNNNNNNNNNNNNNNNNNNNNNNNNNNNNNNNNNNNNNNNNNNNNNNNNNNNNNNNNNNNNNNNNNNNNNNNNNNNNNNNNNNNNNNNNNNNNNNNNNNNNNNNNNNNNNNNNNNNNNNNNNNNNNNNNNNNNNNNNNNNNNNNNNNNNNNNNNNNNNNNNNNNNNNNNNNNNNNNNNNNNNNNNNNNNNNNNNNNNNNNNNNNNNNNNNNNNNNNNNNNNNNNNNNNNNNNNNNNNNNNNNNNNNNNNNNNNNNNNNNNNNNNNNNNNNNNNNNNNNNNNNNNNNNNNNNNNNNNNNNNNNNNGAACUGCUGCACAAUUCCUGCUUGCUCACAAUUCAACUUAAACUUGUGAGCAGUAUACUUAGAACCAUUAUCAGACCUGAGCAUUUUAAUUUUAUUCCCACUCUGAUUCUCAACUAAGGCUUUAAACUUCACAAACACAUCAGCAACUUCAGACUUGGCUCGCAGAAAAUAAAUCCAACUCAUCCUAGUCAUAUCAUCAGUGAAGGUAAUGAAAUACCUGCUACCAUUGAGAGAAGACUCAGACAUAGGUCCACAUAAAUCUGUGUGGACUAAUUGCAGCUUCUCACAUGCUCUCCAGCCUCCUUCUUUGAAAGGAAAUCUGACUUGCUUGCCAAGAAGACAAGUUCUGCACUGUGGAAAUUCCUCCUCCAAACUUGGCAAGUCAUCUGCCUAGCUAUUUCUCUGCAUAAACGACAUGCUCUUCCUGUUAACAUGCCCAAGUCUUUUAUGCCAUAUCUCUGCAUUUUCUUCUUUGCACUUUAAAGCCAUUUGUUGCAUCUCUUGUGGCUUGAACAUGAAACUCUUGUCCUUCAUUGGGAUUCUUAGCACUUCUUUGCUAUCUGCAUUAUUAAUAAGACAUUCAUUCCCUCUCGAACUUUACUUUAUAACCCUUCUCAACUAAUUGACCAACACUUAACAGAUUAUGGUCAAUAUUUGGCACAAAAGAACAUCACUGAUCAGCUUCACCUCAUGAUUUCCUUCAAUAGCCACUGUACCCUUCCCUUGCACUUCGAUAUACUGUCCGUUGCCAAUUUUGACUCUGGACCUGACUGACCUGUCUAGAAUCCUAAACAGCUUCGAAUUGCCAGUCAUAUGAUUGGUACAACCACUAUCCACCAGCCAUGCAUCAUUCCCAACAGAAGAUUCAGAAAAAGAAGCUACAAACAAGUGCUCUUCCUCAGUUUCAUUCACUGCUACCUGGGCUUUUCCUGCUUGCUGGUAAUUUUUUUCUUUGUAGAUGGCUUCCAUGUGACUCAACUUGUGACAUCUUCUGCAUCUAGCAUCAGGUUUUCUCCAACAUCUAAAAAACUGAUGAUUAGUUCCACCACAGUAUUGACAAGGCUUUUUGUUCAUCUUCCAUUUGCUAGACCCACCAGAAUUUCCUUCUUUUGCUACAAACUUGGAGUCACCGGCGUUUUCUCUGGACUGAAUCCAUUUCUUCCCUUUGCCUCCAUCAUUUGACUUCACUCUAGCUUGCAGCGCACCCUCUAUAAACUCUUCUUUUCUCAUCAAUCUUCUGUGCUCCUGUGCCUGCAGAGCAUUUAACAAUUCUGCAAGCUUUAUAUCAGCUAAGUCUCUUGUAUUUUCCAGAGAUGCUAUGGUGGCUUCGAACUUCUCUGGAAGAGACCCCAGGAUCUUCUGAACAAGCCUUUCAUCCUUCAAGUCAGUCCCUAAAACUCUGAUUUUUUCAGCUAUCCCAACCAACCUAUCAGAGUACUCCUUCACUGACUUUGAAUCCUUCAUCUGCUAUCUCUUAAACUCCCUCAAGAGAUUCAACACCUUCAUGCCUCUUAUCUUCUCAUCUCCCUCGUAUUCAUCCUUCAAGAAAUCCCAUAUUGCCUUUGCAGAAUCACAUCUCAUGAUCCUUGUGAAGAUAGUGGGUGAAACAGGCAUGACUUUGUCCUGGCCUUCCUUGUGAUUCUCUCUUUAUGGUACUUUAUCUGAUUCAAGGUCGGAUUGUCUGGAAGUGGAGCAACCUCAUAAUCAUCCUCCACAGCCUCCCAUAAAUCAUGACCCUCCAAGAAUGCCGUCAUCUUGACAGCCCAAGCCUGAUAAUUUUCCCCAGAAAAGACUGGAGUUGCCAUUGCAGGAAUCCACUCGAUCCUGCCUCCAUCAGCUUUUUUCUUUGCAAAUCGGAAGCAAUCUUCACUCAAUUACCCUCACUUCACAGUCCCUUAAGAUCCCACAAACGCUUUGAUACCAAUGUUAAAACUCAUAAAAACAACAAUCAAAACAGAAAAAUUUCUGUUUUUGAGAGAGAGAAAAGAUAAUAAAAAAAACAGAGCAUUUCAUACGUCUUGUGCUUAAGAAAAAAAAACUGUCGAGUACAACAACUAAAUACAAAACAAAAACUGCUCACGUACAUGCAACAAAUAACUGCACACAAACGUGCCAUUAACUUCCUAGAAAAUAGCAAAAACACUAAAUACGUAACUAAAUGAACUUGGCUGUUUUUUAAUAAAAAAAAACAGAGUAAAACAGAGUAAAAAGAAAACUGAAAACAGCAGAAAACAGAGACAUUAUAAUCCAACACAAACGUAUACUAGAAUGAAAUCCUGGUGAAUGAGAAGGAUCUCUUGAGACUGACUGGGAAAGCACUGAUCAUAAGAUGAGGAACAUGAAGAGAUUUGAAGUAAGGAAGAAGAAUAACCUGAUCAGAGCCAUCCUCGGGGUUGUCCAAAAAUUGAAGAGAGAGCUUGCCUUACUCUUCCAACUCCUGAAGACCAUCGAAGCCAGCAAUGUACGUCUCUGGACGAGAUUGAAGAAACUGGGAGCUUUGACAGUAGGUACUGUUGGAGUUGGAGGAAAAGAGAGAGCUAUUGCUGAAAUCUGGAAUUUGAAACGAGAAAAAAGUGGGGGAAAAAGGUUGAAGACGAUGGAGUAUGCAAAAGAUGUACAUGGAAAGGUGAAGUCUAUGCUCUGAUGUCAAGGAUGCGAUCAACGUCCUCUUUUUGUCAUGAAGCUGCUUCGCUUGCCGGAAUAUAUUAACUAGGAUCCCUUCACUCAUUUCAUGAUCACCCCUUUCUUCUUUAAUUUUUCUUUUCUUCCUGCUGUUUGUCUUCGUCUGCUCUUGUUCUGUUGCAACAAAUGGUAAAAAGAAAAGAGAAUACUGUAAAGCGCCCCUGUUUUCCUCUCCUGCAGAAUUGGAAGAGUAAUGGACACUGACUAUGGAGUUCCGUUUUAAUUCCAUAAACAAGAACCUAUAUGGGCCAUGGACGUCAAAACUCAAGACCCGUGUACAAGUUUAGAAUGCCAAAUAAUGUGAAUUGAACAUACUGCGCUGUACUUCGGUACUUAAUCAACUAAUGCUAACAAUCUCAUGAUGGGGACGAGCGAAUUUGAUUUUACCAUAAGGGCGUCCAGAAAAGACAUUUGAAUCGUUGACAAACACUUUUUUGACAUCUAGUCAGCGACUGUUGUAGCUUCCAAAUACGUUCUUUCUCGAACAAAAGAAUUUCGAAUGGAAAUCGUUGAAUAUUGACUUAGUUCACGCCCAGUCCUGAUACUCCGCAUGUACGCCCUCUGUUUCUAAUGUUAAGAUGUUCAUAAGGAACUCGCUGUCAAGUGUCAAUCCUUUAAAAAAUCAGGAGUUGGAUGGAUAUUAUUCCAUAAUCUCAAGCUGCUUGAAUUGUCAAGAACAAUAUUUACAGGUUGCAACCUUCAUAAAUUGCAUCCAUUCAACAAGCUACUUCAGAAACUGAAAAAAUUAUCACUAUAAACGCACAUCUCGUGUUAGUCGUCGCUGAUAGUUUUGUCACAUGGUGCAUGAGUCUCUCAUUGAGCAAAAUUUAGAACGUUGAAAUACUUGUUAGGCAAAGAUAAGUUUAGGUGUCAUGAUGAAUAAAAGUUCAAGCAAUUGUGAUGUCAGUAUGUAAAAAAUGAUGGGCAAGUGAAUAUGUUAUCCAUUAUGAAUGAUAUCAAGCUCACAAGGUUACCUUGUCUAUUUCCUACAUAUGAAAAUCAAGCGGACGAAAUUUUCGAUGAAUGGAUCAUGAGACCUCUUCUCAUGAGCCUUUGCACCCCGAGGAGGGAAACCAGUAGUUGCAAAUAUGUCGAGGAGGGUGGUCCAUAGAGGCCCAAUUAGCAGAGGAAUAGCAGAAGGCAAAAGGAAAACCUAACAAGCCAGGUUCUAGGAUUAAGUCGAAGCGAGAAAAUUCCAAAGCUAAGUCGAUUCGGGCUCCUUCCUGGAGAUUUAUCAUGUGAGGUUUUAUCCUCAGGUACCACUGAUAGAAUUUAGAGUCCAAAACUGGAACAAGACCUAAAUCUACAACUUUUCUUUGACCAAACAUAUGCUAGAAUGGAAUCCUGGUGAAUGGAAAGGAUCUCUUGAGACUGACUGGGAAAGCACUGAUCAUAAGAUGAGGAACGUGAAGAGAUUUGAAGUAAGGAAGAAGAAUAACCUGAGCAGAGCCAUCCUCAGGGUCGUCCCAAAAUUGAAGAGAGUGAUUGCCUUACUCUUCCAACUCCUGAAGACCAUCGAAGCCAACAAUGUACAUCUCGGGACAAUAGUUGAAUAGACUGGGAGCUUUGACAGUAGGGACCGUUGGAGUUGGAGGAGAGAGAGAACUAUGGUUGAAAUCUGGAAUUUGAAAUGAGAAAAAUUUUCGAGCAUAGGUUGAAGAAGAUGGAGUAUGCAAAAGAUGAAUAUAUGAAGUGACGUCCUCUCUCUUGUCAUGGAAGUAGCUUUGCUUGCCAAACGAUACCUCCCCAGGCCUGAAUCUCUGUCCACGUUCAAUGAUUAUAUUAAUUCCAUCCCUUCACUCGCUUCAUGACCAUCCCUUUCUUCUUUGAUUAUUUUCCCUUCCUGCACAGGCCUGAAUUCGUGCUUGUUCCCAGAGAUGUACCAAGUUGUCUUUGUCCGUUCUUGUUCUGUUGCGACAAAUGGGAAAAAGAAUAGAGAAUACAGUAAAGUGCCCCCGAUUUCCCUUGCUGCAGAAUUGGAAGAGCAAGGACACUGACUAUGUAGUUUAAUUUUAAUUCCAAAAACAAGAACCUAUAUUGGCCAUGGAGGUCAAAACUCAAGAUCUGCGUACAAAGUUUAGAAUGCCAAAUAAUGCAAAUCAAACAUACUACACUGUACUUCUGUACUGAAUUAACUAAUAUUAACGAUCUCAUAAUCAAGGCGAGCGAAUUUGUUUUACCAUAAGGGCAACCAGAAAAGACAUUUGAAUCAUCGACAAACAGCUUUUUGGCAUCUACUCAGCAACUGUCCUAGCUAUUAAAAUACAUUUUCUCUGGAACAAAAGAAAUUAGAAUGGAAAUCAUUGAAUAUCGACUUAGUUCAUACCAAAUCCUGAGACUCUGUAUGUACGCUCUCUAUUUCUAAUGUUGGGAUGUUCAUAAGGAAAUUGCUGUGAAGCGUCAAUUCUCCAACAAAUCAGGAGUGGAUAAAUAUAAUUCCAGAGUCUUGAGCUGCGGAACUGUCAAGAACAAUAAUUGCUAACUGCGUCAACUCAAAUAGAUGCUCCAGAAACUGAAAAACUAUCCCUAAGAAAGGCAUUAACAGCUCCUGCAAGUCGAUGCAGGCGAUGCAACAUCAUGAGAUCAACUUGCUAGCCCCUGAACCGAUUAGUGUCUAAUCACGCCACAAGGUGCCGGUGAGGACUCUCAAUCUUUCAGAGAAGUCUUGACACCAAAACUAUCACAAAGCAAGAACAACGUCCAGCUUUGCCCUCAUCCGAUGCCAAAACAAACAGCCCAUCUACACAAUCACUUCAUUCUUAAUCUCACAUAAGAGCCACCUCCAUAUAUGGUUCUCUUUGGUUCGCAUGUCCCAGAUUAAACUGACAAAGUUUUCUUUAUCGUAUAUAGCAUGCUAUAGUAUAUCUUAUUAUUCGAAGGUCCCGAACGAGCAAGGGGAAUUCCCUUGGUCAAAUUCAACGGAUGGAUCUCAUCAAGAAUCCAAAAUGGCCAGGGAAUCUUGUGAAGAAAGUAUAGCAUUGUAUCAAAAACACGUUAAUGACUUCGCAAGAGUAUAAUUGUUAAGGAACUGAGAUAACAAAAGUUAGAGGGUUUUCCCGAAGAGUACAUAUGACUUAUUUGAAGCAAUUGUUCAUCCCUUUGAGCAUCCCCACAAAUAAAAUGAAAUCGAAAGUAUCUGCAUAGGCAAAUAAACAUAACCAAAUAGAUGUCAAGGGAGGAAGCAAAUCAUUCUUCAAAGUCAAUACCUCCAGAAAACCAUCACUUAGAUUUGCUUGUUACAGCCAUUAAGAGCUUAUCCAAGAUGAGCAAUCUUACUUGAUGGCUAUGACAUCUGCUGUACUUAGAAGGCAUUCCGAUGACUGUUGGCAUUAUCAAGAGAAUGAUUUCUCCGAAGCAUCCAGACAUACUUCUCCAUCAGCUUUUCCGUUGCUUGAAUCAUGUAAGAGAAGGAAAACAUUACCCUGUUGUCAUGGAAAUGAUUAAAUUCGACCAUAUUAGUUUAUGUAAAAGAAAGAAGACAAAAAUUAAAUAACCCAUCUUUGUAUUCGGUGAUUAAAUAUCAAACCUCCUUUUUGAUGUGUUGCUAGUUUCAAAUUCUUAAUUUAUUAACUGAAAACAUUUAAUAAUGGCAGAAAUUCGUAACUUACUAAUUUAUUGACUAUUUCUAGAUCUAUUGACCGGCUACAGUAGUACAAUUUGAGAAAAAAAAAAUGGUCUCUGAAGAACGAUACCCCUAAAGCAUCGUGUUUCCACGACCAGCGUCUCCAUUCCUUUAACUACUAAUAAGAAAAAAAAGUAGAAUAGCGGGCUAUCAAGAAUGGUGUUAUAAAGUAGGAAAUGCUGAUGAAAUUGGCAAUGCGUCUUGACAAUGAACAGUGUAACCUGCUUUAUUUACCUUUCAAAGGAAUCGUGAAUCGUUCCGAACGAUGUGGCCAAGUGCUCUACUCUUCGGGGCAUUCUUUUCAUGAACGAAUUCUCCAUGCAGCAGUUGUGCAAUGAAGAUAUGAAAUUCGAUAAGUUGCAUCGCUCAACGUCUUUUAGAGUCUAGACGCCUUGAUUCCCGGAGCUCUCUCCUCAAUUUCGUGCAGGAUUCACCCCCAUCAUUUCAUUAAAUCUCGAGAUUCGAUGAAUGUGGACAAUUUGCCCGGGCCUGGAGUUGAAUCCCUCAUUUGAACGCAUUUGCGACUCUCCGGUCCCCUAACAUCACGAAGCUUCAAGCACCCUCUAAUGUCCAGAUAUGUCAGGUUAUCAAAGCACGAGAGGUCUGGUAAUCUUUCAAUGGAUCUGCACCCUUUGAUGUCCAAUUUUUUCAAGUUUUUCAAUAGAUGUUCAAGGCCAUCAAGGUUGGACAACUUCCAGCAUUCAGAUAACUUAAGUUUUGCUAAAGAUUUUAAUGCUUCCAGACCCUUGAUUUCUCUCAGCUUGAUGCACGAAUAGAGGUCUAACUUUGACAAGAAUUUCAAAUUUGACAAACUUCGUAACUCCUUCAACUCAUCACAAUCAUGGACAUAAAGCUUCAAUAAUCCUGAGGGAAGCUCCGGCAUGGAUUCCAGCAAUGGGCAAUCCAAAACAAUGAGCUCUUUUAGGAGGAUUAGAUGGGAAAGUUGAGGCAAUUUGUGAUGCUGACAAGUGACUCCCAAAACUGUUAAACAGGCAGGAAGCUUUGGCAACGACUGAAGACUGUCACAAUUUCUUAACUCAAGGUGUUGUAGAGAAGGCAACUUACUGAUGCUUUGUGGCAAUGAUUGAAGCAUCUUGCAGUCAUAUAAAUCAAGCUUCUCAAGAUGAGAAAGUUUAUCAAAUGCGUCAGGGAAGCCGGAAAUGCGUGUAUGACUUAAUUGAAGGAUUUUUAGUGAGGACAACCCAUCUACAUGAAUUUCCCCUUCUAGACUCUCACAUCCUAUGGCAUUUAAUUCUUCAAGGUUGGCCAACUUGUUAAUAGUACUAGGUAAAUUACUCAGUUUCUUACUAUUAUAAAUAUUCAAAAUUUUCAAGUUUUUUAAAUCUCCGAUGGAUUCGGGUAAUUCACAAAUGCCUGAUCGUGACAAUAAUAAUUCAGUCAGACAUUCCAACUUUCCAAUUGAGUUGGGAAUAUGAUGGAGAGCACAAUCAAAUUGUGAAUCUUGUGAAACCCCCACUCCGCUUAAUGAUAGGCAUUGCAAUUUUAGAAGGGAUCUGAUGCUAUCUGGAAGUCUACAUAACUUGAAGCAAUCAUUCAAGCGAAGGGUCGACAAAUUUACCAAAUUGCUAAUUGAGUCAGGAAUUGCAACCAAUGAUCCGCAACUACUGACAUCAAGCACCUCCAACUUCUCCAAAAAACCGAUGCAUGGAGGAAUUUCCUCUAUAGCAGUCCUGCCUAUGUAAAGUUCCUUCAGUUCUUUCAAUUUGCCCAUUUCUUGGGGUAGCUCUUGGAGUUUCUCACAUCCUUCCAAGUUCAAAAAAAUGAGACCCUUGGCUUCCCCAAUAGAAGGGUGAAUUCGCUUCAGAUUACUACAUUCACGGAGGACUAACACCUCCAAAUUUCGAAAGGCUGAGGGAUCAGGAGUUGCAUUUAAACAAUGGCAAGAUUCAAGAAAUAGAACUUUUAACUGCUUUGCCACCUGCAAAAUAAAAUGAUAGAUAAAUUUUCUCUAAGAAUAAGUCAUUGGAAACAAAAGACAAAACAAGAUGCUCUCUUUCUAACCUCGAGAUGACUCCAACCUUUCCAAAGUUCUGAAACGUCACUUUUUGAUAAGUUAAGUAUGACUAAUUUCUCUAGAUGAAAACUAGUGGGCACAAAUGCAAGACAUCCCAUCCACUCAAGGCAUCGUAACUUAGGAAACAAGUCCUUGGAAUCUCCGAUCAGUUUUGCAUCACCAACUUCAAGGAACCUUAAGUUCGGUAGUGUCUCAAAUUGCUUGGUUGUGAAUUCCCUCUGCGAUCUGUCACUGAUGGCCUGAACACGAACUUUUUCAAUUCCCUUCACAAAUGUUGUUGCCUCAAGUCAGCCAACAAUGGACCCAUUAUCACUUUGCCUUCAUUCUAUGGUCGUGAAUUUGAUGCUUAGUCUGACCAGAUUUUAUCAUAUAUGUGAUUAUUUGCUUUUCUAUGAUGAACUUCUUCCCUUCUUUUGUUUAUGCUAUUUGCUUCGUUCUUUUUCAGUGCAAUAGGUCAUUUCCAGGGAAAAAACACGAUAGGUACAUCGAAUAAUGACUUGGAAUCAAUAAAUGCUGACACCAAGUGCACAAAAGCAACCACUAAAGUAGCAAGGAGUUCAUCGUUUAAACCAAAAUAUUUCUUCUUUUUUAAAUUCAUUCCAAUCAAGAUAAUUUCAUGUCAAAAGGAAAGAGAACAAUGACAAAGGUUACGAUUACCUUAUUUCUCUGAAAUACUUCCAAGGCUUCCUCAUGCACCCACAACCUACUUCGAUUCAUAGGCACAUCGUAAUCUUCUUGACGAACAAUUUCUCUACCAAGGUCUCUCAGUUGGUCAUGCAUUUUCAACUCUCCAUCAUCUCCAAUUUUUAUCAGCGACAUAAAAAUCAAUCUUUCAAUCCCGAUCCUUGGAAGAAGAUUACAGGCAUCCCACAUGUAAGAUACAUAUCUUAAAUCAUAUCCAAUGAAGAAACAAGCAAUAUCCAAAAAUAUUUGUUUUUCCUCGUAGUUUAAUGCAUUGUAACUUAUCCUCAGCUUCUCUUGCACUUCCAUAUGUGGUUUUUCCUUUAAUUUCUUUAAUGUGUCUUGCCAAAAUGCUCGGUUUCGCCCAAACAAAGACGAACCUAUAACCUCAAGGGCUAAGGGAAGCCCUCCGGUAGUGGAUACGAUGGCAUGAGAAAGAGACUCAAAUUCACACGAAGGAUAGUCCCUUAGAAAGGCAUGCCUACUAAAUAAGAUCAAAGAUUUAUCCUUGGGGAUUUCCUUGAGUUCGUACCUGCUGGUCACCCCGGCUUUGUCAAGGACAGACCUUAUUCUUGUGGUAAUGAUUAUCCUACUUCCCAUCAUAAACCACUCAUGUUUCCCAACCAAAGCUUUGAUUUGAUCGAUAUGAUCCACAUCAUCUAGAAGAAUUAGGACUCUCUUAUAUUCAAAUCUAGAUUCCAUAAUCCUGAUUCCUUCAUCCAUAUUAGAUGCUUGAUUGUUCAUUUUUUGUAAAUCAAAUAUUAAUUGAUUUUGUAAACAUGAAAUGCCCUUGCGUUGCGAGGAUUCUCGAAUAUCUGCAAUGAAACUACGAUGUUGAAAUUUGUCAAAGAGCUUGUUGUAGAUGACCUUAGCUAAAGUUGUCUUACCAAUGCCCCCCAUUCCAUGAAUACCGACCAUUUGGGUGGCAUUGGGUUUAUUAUCCAGCACUCUCAAAAUAUCCUCCACAGCAUUAUCAAUUCCAAUAAGUUGUUCAGUAACAACCAACUGAAAGGCCUUCUUUAACUCGCUCAAAACUUUUCUUACCACUAUUUUCACCAAUUGUCCUUCGUGGCUGUUUAAUGCAUUCAAGCUAAAAUACAUUAGAAAAACAAUCAUAUCAUGUUAUAUCUCGUUAUCAUGACACCACAAGCAUGUAAGAGCAGGGAAAAAAAGGCAAGCACAAGUUGAGAAACACACGAAUGUAUAGCCUCAUCCUCACCUACAAGCAAGAUCCUGUUGAAAGAAAGUAAACAAAACAAGGCUUCGAUAGAAAAUGAAAUACCCGAGAGCAGUUUUCUCUGAUUCCCAUCCCUUUAGGGAAGCCACUUCUUGGAGUGCUUGUUUCCAUUUCGCAACAUCUUCUUCCAAAUACUUCCUGUUUAAAUGGGAGAAAGUCUUUCCAAAGCUUUCUAUCUGGUGUCGCACAUGGCCCGGUUCAACUCGGUAAAAUAUGGGCAAGACAAAGUGCCCAAUGCUUUUCAUGCACUCUAUCAUCUCAGCAAGCUCUUGAAGGCACCAUUUGCUUGAAGCAUAAUUCUGAGAGAGAAUUGGAAUCGAGAUCUUACUGUUCUUAAUGGCCUGGAGAAGGUUGUUGCUGAUCUUCUCACCUUCGCGAAGCUCAUUGUCAUCUUUGAACACACGAAUUCCAGCAUCAACUAGGCUGUUGUAGAGGUGAUCCGUGAAGGUUUUGCGAGUAUCGUUGCCGUUGAAGCUCAAGAACACAUCAUAGUUAUCACUUCUCGCUGGAGCAGCAGAUGAAUUAGACGUGUCAAUAUCAUCACCUUUUCGAUGUGUGUUCUUGUUGCUUUUGACAAAAUUGCGUGCGAGCGUAGAAAGAAGAAUCGACCCGACCAACACCGCAAAAGAACGCACAAACACUGGAUCACAUUUCAUUUUUACUUCUCCUAUAACUCUCGAACUGGGCUCUCUCUGUCAAUAUCGAAGAAUGAAAUGCCUCUAUUCGGGUUGCCCAAUAAGAUGACUGGGCAGAGCUGAGUUUUUGGUACUUCGUACUUCAAGGGGCACAAGGAUCGGAAGGGAACUAGUAGACGAAAGGAAAACGCAACAACGAAGAUGAAUCGACUAUAUUUGUCACAACCUGAAUCUUAAAGGGAUGAGGGUGACACGGCCGUCCUUCCUCCUAAAGGAUGCAGCCUCAAACCACCUAAAGGCCAGCUCCCAAAAGCCCCCACAAUGACGCUCUUGCUUUAAUGGCCACUAAUUCAGGGACCUGAAAAAUAUGAUAAGAAGAAAUGAAUGAGCUACCACGGUCUAAUGAGUAAUACAUUUCUUCUAAGUGAAUCAAGGAAUCACUACGCAAAUUUAAAAUACAAACAUAACUCACUUUCACCAAAUCCAGAAAUUUAACAAACUUUCAAGGCCAAAAUAUAACCUUUCUUACUUUACCACAAUAUAUUCAAAGCAAAAAUAUUCAAGAUAAUAAUAAACAAACACCAAUGGUCCAACCAUUGGUCAAUCUCAUAAAAAUACACAUCAAUGGUCCAUCCCAUUGACUAAUCUAAUGCCACACAUCAAUGAUCUAUCUCAUUGAUCUACCUUAUAUGAUACCACACGUCGAUAGUCCAUCCAUCGACUAAUCUUUUACUCAAUAUCAAACCAUUGUCACAACACAACGCCUAAUGACAAGGCGACCAAGAUUCCCCCUUUGGCAAGGUCUCCACCUAUUAUUAGUCGAUGGCUCGGCCUACAAGAAUAUCAUAAACUAGUAUACGCAUAUCUACAAGCCCCUCGCUGGGCUCAUAGCGAUAUUGAGCAUCAACAUCGAUCUACAACAACCUCCAAAAUUCACAAAGCCGAACCAAUAUAUAAUAAUAAUAAUAAUAAUAAUAAUAAUAAUAAUAAUAAUAAUAAUAAUAAUAAUAAUAAUAAUAAUAAUAAUAAUAAUUUGAUUUCGCAAAUUGAAAACACAUAAUCUUUUCUCAUUCACCAGAAAUGCUUUUCGUAAGGCCUUUUUCAUGUCAUUUCAGAACUCGUUUCUUAAAAUAGAAUAAAUUUCACAUAUCUUUUCACAACACAUUUUAUAAAGCAAGUUCACAAAUCAACAUACACACACACACGUAACCUUUCGGAAUAACUUUUCAAAAACAUUUGGCAAACCAUUCACAAAUAUGAAUCCGUAGUAAAAGCUCGAUCCAGAUUUUAUGCAACAAGAUAUGCUUUCGAUAACUUAUGAUCCAUCAAAUCUCCCUAGCUUUCAAGACACGAGUUUACAAACUCAUAGUAAAAAUAGUAUCACUCACCUGAGAAAGCCUAAACCAACCUAUUAGAGUUACUCGAGCCCACGUACUCAAAUUCCUAACAAAUAACCGAAAAAAAUAUCAAAAGACUGAGUAAAAUGAUAUUUUUAUAAAUGAUUCAAUUAUACUAUGCAUAUUUAUCGAUAAAACAACAUCUAUGCGCCAACCAAUGCUUGCCCAUAGCAAAAAUCUAUUGUUGUCCCAUCGUGCUCUAAACUUGUUCAGGCCAUAAUUUCCUCCACAUAGGUUCUUUUCAAAUAAGCGUACGGUCCAUAGAAAACCAUUCGAUGUACUAAAAAACCCCAACUCAGCCACUCCAAAAACUCACUGAAAACAGCGAAAUUCAAGCCUGAAAGUUAUUGUUUGGAACCCCACCAGCGCACACGACGAACUUUGAAUUUUUUUUCCAGGCAAACUGUAAGCCCAAAUUGAGAUCCAUAAAAUUCUAUAGUUUCACAACACUUUAAACUAUCAUUUCUAUAAAAAUAUACAACUCAAUGACUCAAAAAUCAGACUUCGCCGCAUGAAUCUCUAAUAAUUCCGAAUUUUAGUCCUAACCUUGAAAAAUAAUCUAAUUAGAAGAACGAUAGGCACGAACGUUUACCGAGCAUUACAAAUCGGAGUUGAAUCGGCUUGAGGAGGCACCCAUGACGAGAAUCCUCUCUUUUCUUCCUUCUUCUUCUUCUUUCCCUUCCUUUCCCUCCUCUCCUUUUCUUCUGCCCGAAUGUGAUUCUCCUUUUCCUUUUAUCUCCUCCCCUCUCUCUUUUUUUUUUCUCUCUCUCUCUUUCCUUCUUUUCCCGCAUGCUCUCGGUGCCUCCUCCUCUUCUUCUUUUCUCUUCUUUUCUGCUUUGACUUUUCAACAUUUAUUUUCCUUUUGUAUUUUUGUUUUUGCUGGUCCCACAAUGCCAUAUCUUACAAUAUUGGAUGGUUUUGAGCUCGAAAUGGACAUUCGACUAUGUCUGGGCCAUAAUCAUAUCGUCUCCGAUAAAGAGGAAGGAGGGAAAGCAGGAGGCGAGGUGGGAGGAUGAAGGGCGAGACAGAGCUUGACUGAUAAUAAAGAAUCUAUCAAAGUGUCACACAAUUAAUACAUCCGUAUUGGGAAUCUAGAGGUGCCUUCCUCCUGGCGAAUACAUCCGGCAGUAGUUCUAUCUCUAUGUUCUAACUCGGAAGCUAUUCGUUGUUGGAGAGUUGAACUCUCUCUGUGUUUAAUACAGAAAGAACAUGAAGAAGCCUUUCCAUUGCCUGAGGAGAAAAAAAAAUAUGGCCUAGCUUUUUGAGUGAGUUUGAAAGCAUGAGGACACGUUAAUAACUUACUAUAGUGUAUAGAAUAUUUUCUUUUGGUCACAUUUAUAGAAAAAAAAAAAAACUAGACUUUCCAUCGAUAAAGGCAAAUUAUUAGAGCACCACAACAAGAUGACCUCUAUGGAAAAAGUACAAUUAUUGGAGCACACACGCUAGAACAAUUAUUGGAGCCGACAGAGGGUCUUUUUACUGGUAACUCAUAACAGUCUUCACCGCUGUCGAUUCCAAACCGUAAAGUAUCUUUGGACUAGCGCGUCUCCCAUGCAAAGCGAGUUCCAGCUGUUGCUGUUCCGAAUGCUUCCAGUCUUGGCCAGAGAAAAUGUGAGGUAGUCUCGAAUUGUCACGUCAUCGUGGUCUCUCCCUAUUCGAAUUGUGACACUUAGAACGAAAAAGCCAAAAAAAUAAAGGGUUGAUACUCUGAAAAACCCUAAAUUAGUAUAUUUGUGACAAAUUUACUCAAAACUAUUUUUUUGACCAUGAAAAAUCCAAAACCGGUACACCUGUGACAAAUUUACCUCGACUGACCAUAAAAAAUCAUAAACUGGUACAUUUAUGACAAAUUUACCCCAAACUAGUGAAUUUGUGAUAAAUAUGCCCUCUGCUAAAUUGUAUUAAUACCACAAAAAGAUCACAAAAAUUGUAAAUUGUGACAAAUGGAGCGUAAAAUCUCAGAUUGGUAUAUCAGUCAACUGUCACGUGUCAUUUAACUUUUUAAUUUGAUAGUAAAUUUAAUGAAAACUAACAUAGGGUAAAUUUGUCACAAGUGUACCAGUUUGGGGUAAAUUUGUCAAAGGUAUAUCAGUUUAGGGUUUUUUAUGGUCAAAAAAAUAAUUUGGGGUAAAUUUGUCACAGAUGUACCAGUUUGGGGUUUUUCAGGGUAUUAACCCAAAAAUAAAAAAUUGAAAAGAAAGUCGCGAUUAAAAGUGGGUGCCUUGCUGCUAUCGCUACUCUCUCUCCUCUCACUUUCAUCUUCCUCCCUCUUCGCCGUUAAGCUCAUGGUCAUGGGGAAGGGGUUCGACCCAGACGAAAUGUACGCCGCAUGAUACAGAGUAAAUAAGGGUGCGCAUGACAACGCUUAUUGGCUGGAGAAGAGUUUUUUUUUUUUUUUUUCAGAAAUAAUUCUUUUUUAUUUCUAUUUCAGGGAACAAUUUUUAAGUAAAGAACGCGUUUGAUAACUAUACAAAAUUUCUACUAUUAGAAUAGAAAAAGAAUAGAAAUGCGUCUGGUAACGCAACAGUUUCUUUUUUGUAUUUAUUCGUUUUUUAUUCUUGUACACGGAUCGCCAAUCGCCAAUCGCCACCCACUGCUGCCCAUCGCCGCUGACCGCUACCACUACACGACUGUUGGCCGCUAGCUGCCGUCGCUGCGGCGAACGGGCGGCAGCGGGAGGUGGCGACUGAUGGGCUAUGCAGCGGCGGGCGGUAGCGGAGGGCGGCAGCAGGCAGCAGCGAGGGCGGCGGCGACUGGCGACCGGCAAAGGCAGCGGCGGGCGACAGCGGCCGACCGUAGGCGGUGGCUCCGGGCGGUUGAAAGUGACUGUGGCAAGAGAGAAGAAUAAAAGAAAAAAAUUGACCUAUUUCUAGAAAUUGUUCUUAGGAAUAAGAAGCAAUUUUUUUUUUUUGUUUCUCGUUUUUGCUCCAAAUCUAUUCCCGGGCUAACUUUCUAUUCCGGGGAAUAGAAAAACAACUUGGCGUUACCAAACGGAUUCUGUUCUUUUUUUGUUCCGAGGAACAAAAGAACAGAAAUUCAAAGAAACAUAAAUGUUACCAUGUGCAGCCUAAGUUAUUGAUUGCCUUUAGAGUUUACCUCUAUUUUAAGCAAAUGCAACGGACAUUCUUUCCCAAAGUAACGCUUGAACGAUUUCUAUCCGCACGAACCUCAAUUUCAUGGUAGAGUCAGCAACUUUAUAGUGCCACUAGGCUAACGGUCAAUAACAAUGAACUUUCCCAACCAUGUAUCCCAAAUUUAGCGAGAGAGGCAACCGAAAGGUCAAGUUUGGUCUUUUCAUCUUAUUUUAGCCGAUUUUUUUUUCUGCUUAAAAGUUUAAAUUGGGUUAUGUGCAAUAAAUUUGCAACACUCACUUUAAACCGAAAAAAGAAAACUCAAACACACUUUUGAUACGUCAAAAUAGAUUAAUAUAAACUCUUUUUUUUUUUUUUACUAACAUAGUUGGGGUUGUGUUAUAAAUGAGUUGUUAGAUAUUCGAAGGAUCGAGGGAAAUAAGUUUAAAAUAUUAAAAUCCAACCAGAGUGGUUAUGGACAAGGCCAUCUCUCACUCCUCCUUCCAGUCUCGACUGCGUGCAUGACCUGUUGGAGGGUAUGAAACAGCCGUCAUGUUCCGUGUAAGAUGGAAAUAGUUCUGAAAACUAUGGACCCCAUAGCAAAAUAUAUUCAGAAAGCACUCAUAAAGUCGCAUAUCCACAUGUCACAGGUUGGUCGAUUACGAUCGAUCAAACACCGUGCAGCCUUAGGAUUUGUGAUCCCAAGUCAGCCUUUUCACACACACGCAUGAACACAAGGGUCGGCUGCACAAAGGAGUAAGUGUUUUUACUUAUGAACAAACUAAAUACAAUGAGGGGGAGGGACCCCUAUAUAUACAAGUUCGGGUCGUAUCUCGACUGUUGAUCGUCCCUUCGAUCCAACGAUUGAGUUGGAACGAUGGUCAUUAUUACAAGUCUACACAGUAGGCCACUCAAUGGCUCUAGGCCUUAGAAAAACCCAUCAGCGCAUGUCAGAAGCAAGGUCAGGGUUUGCAUGGUCGCCUGACAUGGAGUAGGUGAACCACUGCAGGUUGCACAUGGGCUGCCUGAACACUGAUCAUGGGUUGGUCAUUGGUUGUGCACGAACUUUUGCUCGUAUUGCGCAUGGGCUGAUUGUGCACGUUUCAUGGAUCGUUCAUGGAUCAAUUGGGGCUGUUCGUGGGCAAAGCCCUUGUGCAGGACACGGCGCCAUCACGGACGAUCUUGGACCAUGCAUCGUCCGUGGGCCAUGUCAUUCUCCCCCACCUAAUCGGGCGACGCCCUCGUUGCGUUGGUGGCAUAGAAGGCUUUGAUGUGUUUCCUGAACUACCAUAGGCCCUCGGAGGGUUUCCAACUUGCUUCACUCUCAGGAAGGCCCUUCCAUCGGACGGAGUAUUCCUUCUUUGGCGCACAAUAUCUCUUCCCUAUGAUCCAAUCUAGCAUGAUGCAUUCAAUGUCCCGAUCAUAUGAGGUUUUCGCUCUAAGGGGCGCCCGUUGUGAUUUGCCUCGAUCCAGAUCCUCCUUGUCCGCAUGGAAAGGUUUCAGCAUGCUCACAUGGAACACGAGAUGUACCUUGAGCUUGGCCGACAAGUCUAGCUUAUAUGCCACCUUCUCGAUCCACUGCAACACUCGGAAGGGGCUCUCUUAGUGACGGAGCAGCCAUUUGUGCACAUCACGGUACCGAAUGAACUAGUGCAACUUAGCCAACACCAAGUCUCCGACCCAAAAUUCCAUGUGCCGUUGCUUCUUGUCGGCCCACUUCUUUGUGUGUUUUGCAACUUUAUUUAGGCACACCCACACCAAGUCCAAAUGUUCAUCCCAUUCCUUAGCGAACUUGUACGCGAAGGGGCUGUUUCCUCGAUGCCCUGAGGCAAUCACGCUUGGUGUAAGUGGUUUACCUAGUCACAAUCUCAAACGAGCUCUGGUUCAUGGACUCGCUCUUCUGCAAGUUGUAUGAAAAUUAGGCCACAUCGAUCAGUCGUGCCCAAUUUACUUGCAUCUUGCUUAUGUAGUGCCGGAGGUAGAUUUCUAGGAGUGCAUUCACCCGCUCCGUCUGUCCGUCGGUUUGGGAAUGCAUGCUCGUGGAGAAGUUGAGGUUCGUCCCCAACAACUUGAAGAGCUUAAUCUAGAACCACCCGGUGAAACGAGGAUCGUGAUCGCUCACGAUCGUGCCGGGAAUGCCCCAAUACUUGACAACAUGCUUGAGGUAUAGCUUAGCCGCUUCCUCGGCUGGGCACCUUCGUGGCUGGCACGAACGUCGAGUACUUGGAGAAACGAUCCACCACAACCAUGAGGAUUCAACACCCUUCAAACUUUAGCAAAUUCACGAUAAAGUUCAUGGAGACGCUCUCCCAUGGACGUUCUGGGAUAGGCAACGGUUCAAGGAGCCCUGCCGAUGACCGUUGCUCUAUCUUGUCUUGUUGACACACAAGACAUGUCCGCACGUUGGCUUCAACGUCGUCCCUCAUGGGCGGCCAAUAAUAUUGAUCCUUGACGAGCGCCAUGGUGCAGUGAAUUCUCGGAUGACCUACCAAUUUAGAGUCGUGGCACUCGUGUAGGACUUCUUUUUGGAGUUUCCCAUGGAGCGGCACAUAGAGUCGUCGUCCUUUGGUGUAAAGGAGAUCAUUCUUACACAAAAAAUCGCCUCGUCUUGCCCUCUUGGGCCUAUAGAAGGAGGGCGUGAGCCGUUUGGUCGUGCUUUAGCCCGUCCUUGAUACGAUCUAUCUAUGGACAAUUGGGUCGACUCCUCAUGUUGGCCAAUUCCAGCUUCCUGCUUAAGGUGUCGGCCAUGAAAUUGGUCUUUCCGAGCUUGUACUCCAGCACAUAAUCAAACUCAUCUAGGAAUUCUUGUCAUCGAGCUUAUUUUUGGCUGAGCUUAUUCUAGAUUUGAAAGUAGCUCGUGGCCACAUUAUCAGUCCUCACGACAAAACGCGAUCCCAAGAGAUAGUGCCUCCACAUACAAAGGCAAUGCACCACCGCGGUCAUUGCUUUCUCUUGGACCGUGUAUCGUUGCUUAGUAUCGUUCAAUUUCCGAGACUUGAAGACAAUCGGAUGCCCUUCCUACAUCAAGACACCACCGAUAGCAAAAUCAGUAUCAUCGGUUUCUACCUCAUAAGGCUUGGUAUGGUCGGGCAGCACAAGCACCGGCUCUUCAGUCAUGGCCCGCUUCAACCGAUCGAAUGCCUCUUGACACCGAUCCGUCCACUCCCACGGCCUUUCCUUUUUCAGCAUGUUUGUUAGUGGCACAAUAAGGCUCGAAUAUCCCCGGAUGAAGCGCUGAAUGUAGUUUGUGAGACCAAGGAAGGAUCUCAACUUCGUCACCUUGGUCGGUGGCUCCCAUUCAAUGAUGGCACGGAUAUUAACCGCGUCCAUCCGCAUUCAUCUGCCCGCGACGAUGUGCCCAAGGAAAGGGACUUCUUUUUGUGCGAAGGCACACUUCUCACGUUUCACAUAUAAAUCAUUUUCCCGUAGGAUUUGGAAAACUCGACUCAAAUGCUCGACGUGUUCCUCGAGCAUCUGGCUAUAUACAACGAUAUCAUCAAGGUAAACCACAACGAACCGAUCAAGGAAUGGAUGUAGUACCUCAUUCAAUGAGAGUGCAAAAUGUAGCCGACGCAUUGAUCAAGCCAAAAGGCAUGACAAGGAACUCGUAUGAUCCGUAAUGGGUCACGCACGCGAUUUUCGGCUCAUCCCCUUUGGCAAUCUGAACUUGGUAGUAUCCCGAUCGAAGAUCAAGCUUGGAGAACCGUUGGGCUUCCCCAAGCUAAUCGGACAAGUUUGCAAUAAGAGGGAUUAGGUACUUGUUCUUGACGAUGAGUUUGUUCAACGCCGGUAGUCUAUCCACAUGUGGAGGGAUCUGUCAUGUUUCUUUUAGAACAAGAUCGGGGCACCAAAUGAGGCCUUAGAUGGGUGAAUGUACCUUGUGUCGAGCAGCUCUUUGAGUUAUUUUCUCAGUUCUUCCAAGUCAGGCGGGGCCAUGAGAUAAGGUGCCAUCGUCGACGGUCGAGCAUCGGGCACGAGCUCGAUCCGAUGGUCCACUUCUCUUCGAGGAGGCAACUUCUUGGGCAGCUUAGGAGGCAUCACAUCUUGGAAGGUGUUGAUGACUUGAGCCACCUCUCCCGGUACCUCACUUUCUUCCAUGCCCUCCUUCUUCAACGCUGCCAAGAAGGUCACCUCGCCCUUUCGUAACCCUUUUGUUAGCUGCAUGGCCGAUAGUAUUUUCCUAUCGCAUCCCGAUUUGCGGUAGAUUGGGACCAUGCAUUGGCACCGCUUAUUAAGGAUGCAAAUACAAUCUACGAAGGGCAUAACGCCCGCAUUGAUCCAAUCGAGGAAUCCUAAACCAAGCACGAAAUCAUAGUCCCAAGGGGGAUUACCUCAAUGUCCUCCCAGUUGGUCCAUGGACUGAGGUAAAGCUCUACGUCCCUAGCCAUGCCACUAGUCGGGACUUCUCUUAGUUCACUGUUUUAAGCCAACCGGCUUUUCCCGUCUUGACCAAAAGAUUCAACUUCUUCGCGGCCUCUUUGGAUAUGAAGAGGUCGGAUGCCCUGGUAUCUAGAAUCGCACUCAUCGUGGUUCCACCGAUCUUUACAUCCACGAACAUCAUUCCUUUAGACUCCUUGGCUUUCUUGGUCUUGAUCGACCCAAAGAUCCACAACAAUCCCAACCGCGCCUCCUUACACGGCUUAUUUUCCUUGCAUAAGGCUGCCAACUUUCCUCUUUUUAGGUAAUCACGGGCCAUAUGGGGACCGUCACAAAAGAAGCACUUGUAGGUGUGUACCUUGUGAUGGUAUCCUACGUUGCUCGAUUUGGGUUGAGUUCUAGGAGGAACUGAUUGUGGUUUGUCUCCGCUCGGACGAUUGUACCGGCUCUGAUCUCCCCCACCAUUGGUCUUUUCUCUCGGAUGAGAGUCCGGCUUAGCCGAGGAUGAUAGCUUACAUUCCAUGAGGGACUUGGCCACAGAAGUAGCCAUUGAGAGAUCCAUUGCAUGGCAUCGUUUGAGCUCCUGCUUGACCCAUUGGACGGAAUUUGGAGUAGCAGUUCCGAGAACCGUUUCACGUAGUCAUGGACUCUGCCUUUCUGUUCUAGGUGUUUGAGUUCCCCAUGAGCUUCCUCCUUCACAUAAGCGGGGAAGUAUUCAUUGAAAUUCUUCCACAAAUGUCAUCCAUGUCGUGAUAGGGUCACCACUCCUAUCAUCCGACUAGUGACACCACCACAGCAGCACAUCAUCAGCUAAAUACAUGGCUGCAGUGCUUAAUCGAAUCACGUCAUCGGUCAUUCCCAUGGUCUGGAAGUAUCGUUACAUGUACCACAGAAAGUUGUUCACGUCCUUUGCCACUUGUGAGCCUUUGAACUCUUUCGGCUUGGGUGCAUCGGCGUGUGGUUGCACGGUGAUCACCCCAUUCAAGCAUACAGCUUCAAGCUUGGCGAGCUUGCUUUUCAGCUGGGUCAUCUCCAUGCGAAUGGCCACCAUCACAACCUCCCAGGUCUCGUCUCGUUGUUAUAGCUCGUGUGUGAGGGAUCCCAGCACCUCGACAUGGAGCUCUCCCAUGCCAGUCUUGAGUUGUUGCACUUUGGCCAAGAACUCUUCCCUACCAGCUUCCACUCCAUCGACGGUCUGUUUUAGGUCAUCCAUCAACGCUUGGAUGUCCGUGACGAUCUCCUCUAGGACCGUCAUUCGGUUCUCCAAAUCACCCUUUGGAUCCCUUGAGCUCGACACAAAACAGUUCUUCUUCGACCGAGUGCCUUUCUCGGUUGGAUGCCCAUGAUCUUCUUGGUCAUCGUCUUGCACGACCGAUACAUCAACAUGAGGAUCAGCCAUUGCGCUUGGAACAAUCGCUCUAAUACCACUUGUCACGGGUCGAUCGAUUACGAUCGAUCAAACAUUGUGCGGCCUUAGGAUUUGAGAUCCCAACUUAGCCUUUUCACACACAUGCACGAACGCAAGGGUCGGUUGCACAAAGGAGUAAGUGUUUUUACUUAUGAACGAGCUGAAUACAAUGAGACCCCUAUUUAUAUAAGUUCGGGUCGUAUCUCAGCCGUUGAUCAUCCCUUAGAUCCAACGGUUGAGUUUGAAUGAUGGCCAUCAUUAUAAGUCUACAAAGCAGGCCACUCAAUGACUCUAAGCCUUAGAAAAACCUAUGGACUCAUGUCAGAAGCAAGGUCAGGGUUUGCAUGGCUGCCUGACACGGAGUAAGUGAACCACUGCAGGUUGCAGAUGAGCUGGCCAAACAUUGAUCAUGGGUUGGUCGCUGGUCGUGCAUGGGAUUUUGCUCGUAUCGCGCAUGGGCUGAUCGUGCACGGUUCAUGGAUCGUUCAUGGAUUGAUCAGGGCUGUUCGCGAGCAAAGCCCUUGUGCGGGACAUGGCCGCAUCACUGACGAUCUUGGACCAUGCAUCGUCCAUGGGCCGUGUCACAUGGCUCUUACCUUCGCUUUCACAUUUUAAUUUUAUGCUAAAAUAGAAAUAUCAUUUAAUAUAAAAAAUUGCGAAAAUAAACUUUUGAGUAACUUUUUUUUAACAAAAGAAUGUCUUCAAGGGUUUUUUUUUUUUUUUUCAAAAAACGUUCUCAAGGGUAGGCUACAUUUCAAUAAUAAAAAUUCCAAAAAACGCAACGAAAGUUGAGGUUGAUAGAUAUAAUGCACGACCGUGCAAUUCGUACCAAACGCUCCUCAACUAAAUCUUCACCUCUGGUCUCUCAAAUUGAGUAGCCAAAAGAUCUUUAAUGCUUGAUUGUCAUGUUAUUUGAUAAAUUUGGACAAGAUUAAGGGGUUGUUUGUUAACAUUCUUUUUUUUUUUUUGUUUAUGAACAAAUUUUCUGUUUUUUUGUUCCAGGGAACAAAAAAAGAACAUAAAUGCGUUUGUUUGCGUUUGUGCUCCAAAUCUAUUUUUUUGUUCCCAGGAACACAUUUAAAACAGAAACGAGAAACAAGAAAAAUAUGUUUCUUGUUUCUGGAACAAUUUUUAAGAACAAAUUUUCUCUCUCCUCUCUUUUUCUUCUCUUUUUUUUUUCUUCUUUUCUUUUUCUUUUUUCUUUGGCCGGCGGCCUCGCCCAGCCACGGCGAGGCUCGCAGGCCCCCAGCGAGGCCGAGCCUCGCCGUGGUUGGGCGAGGCCGCCGGCCAAAGAAAAAAGAAAAAGAAAAGAAGAAAAAAAAAAGAGAAGAAAAAGAGAGGAGAGAGAAAAUUUGUUCUUAAAAAUUGUUCCAGAAACAAGAAACAUAUUUUUCUUGUUUCUCGUUUCUGUUUUAAAUGUGUUCCUGGGAACAAAAAAAUAGAUUUGGAGCACAAACGCANNNNNNNNNNNNNNNNNNNNNNNNNNNNNNNNNNNNNNNNNNNNNNNNNNNNNNNNNNNNNNNNNNNNNNNNNNNNNNNNNNNNNNNNNNNNNNNNNNNNUUUGAUAACCCUUCCCCCCAGCAGAGGCUGGGCGAGCUUAAGCUCGCCGGAUCUGGGUGAGCCCGAGCUCGCCCAGCCAAGGUGAGGCCAAGCCUCGCCGACGCAGGGCAAGGCUAGGCGAGCUCGGGCUCGUCGAAUCUGGGCGAGCUCGAGCUCGCCCAGCCGAGGCGAGGCCGCCGAGGCCGGUGACAAGCCAAAAGAAGAAAAAAAGAAAAAAGAAAAAAGAAAAAAGAAAAAAGAAAGAAAAUAAAAGAAAAAGAAAAUAAAAAUAUUAAAAAAUUAAAAGAAACAAAAAAAGAAUACAAAUUUACCAAACGUGUUUCUGUUCAUUUUUUAUUCUCGGAACAAGUUUACCAAAUGCCUUCUUCUGUUCAAAAAUUGUUCCCCGGAACAGAAAUAGUUUCUAUUUCUGUUCCCCGGAACAAUUUUUGAACAGAAACGUUACCAAACGCGCCUUAAGCUUCACAAGCAUCUACAAAAUAAAAACCAUACAUUAGUGACAAGAUGUACAUUUCUCAAAUAAACUAUUGAGACAGAUGUCUUGAAUUUGAAUGUGAUUUAUCAAGACCAAACUCAAAGUCGAAACUAAGUUUGUAAUUUAUGGAUGGCCUGCAACACUUCUAUAUUUAAUCCAAAACCAAAGCCCGAAUCCGUUUUAAGAUACAGCUUGAUGAUAAUCCAAAAAAUAUCUUAGAGUAUCAUAUAUAUCAUAUGUCCUUAUUGGGAGUAUGGAGAAAACUCAAAUUUUAGCAACUACUUUAAGCAAAUACAUCCAAUAACUCAGAAGUUGACGGUAGUUGGACAUUUUAACUCUCUCUCUCUCACACACACACAAAAUAAUGAAAGAUAAUGAAGAAGCUUUCCCGUCGCCUGAGGAGAAAAAAAUAAGCAAAUUGAACUAGACUUACCAUAGCAUAGCUUUCUGAAUGAGUUUGAACACAUGUGAACAUGUUGAUGAUUUGCUAUAGCAUGCAAUGAGAACACAUGAUUGAACGAGACUUACUGGCCAAAAAUUGCAUAGCUUUCUGAAUGAAUUUGUGUGCAUUUAAGAAAGCUAAGCAAAAGUUGAACUAGACUUUCCAUUAAAAAGAAAAAAGUAGAGCAACCUUGUUCAAUUUUUAGGGGCCAGUGAAUGCACUAAUUGACUCUUUGCACUUGCAGGUCCCAAAGAAUGACUGGCAUCUUGCUUUUUUCCCCAAUGGAGGACUUUUAGAAUUAGUGCUACAAACGCAAGAUUUUUUUAAUUUUAUAUUUUUGGGUAAUAAGAAGAUUAAGAUCAGCAGAGUAAGCAAUGCGGCAGGCUCAGCAACUUAACAAUGCUGGCAUCAUCAGCUUUUCGACGUGCGCUCUUCUCGUUGCUUUGGCCAGAAUUGUGUGCGGGCGCUCGAUCACGUUUGAUUUUUACUCCGAUGAUUCGUGAACCGAUCUCUCUGUUAAUAUCAAAGAACGAAAUGCCUAUAAUCGGGUUGCCCAACAGGACGACCGUGCAGAGGGUUCUUUUUCUGGUGCUUUACACUACAAGAUGAUGCACAUGGAUCGGGAGGGAACGAGUAGACAGAUCAAUAGAGAAAGACUGGAUUUAGUCGUUGCGUGUGAUAUGGGCGUCCUCGCGAGCCACCCAUGCCCUUUCUUCUAGGAAAGUGGGAUUUAGCUGUCGGUGGGGCCCACCGAUUUGCUUCGACUGAUACAAUUUUUUUACUUGUUGCGUCCCCUUCGCAAAGUGCUUUCCAGCUGUUCUUUAUACAUGGCGGAGCUUACAUUUUUGAACUAGACGUUCAUGCUUUGAAUAAAUUAUCCGUGUUAAAGCGGGGAUACUUGAUAUGGCGAUGGCAUACACUAUUGAGCUCAUAAUUAUGGUCAUCGAUCAAUUUUUCAGAACUUUCCAUGAUAUAUAAUGCACGGUUGUCAUUUUAUUUAUAUGACUUUUGUUCGGAGUGAAGACUUUUUGUGAUCAUAUAGUGUCGAAUUUUUUGCAAAAUAAGAGAAAAGUAUAGUGGUUUCCUCGUAAACUAGGAAAAUUACUCGACUAUUUUGGAUAGUUUUGACCUUGAAACGAUUACUAUCUCCGCGCCAUAUUCACAGAGUCAUUUUUUUUUUUUUUUGGUAAAGAAAUUCACAGAGUCAUUGAUAAAAAGGAAAGAGGGAAAGCCGGAGACGAGGCGGGAGGAUGAAGCACAAGAUAGAGUUGGCUGAUAAUUCAAAGAAAUCUCAGAAAAUAUCCACAUUUCAUAUGUCCACAUUGAGAAUCUAGAGACGUCUUCAAUUUUCAGGUGACUACCUGAGGCAAGUACACCCGAUGGCGGUUCCACCUCCAUGUCCUAAUUCAAAAGCUAUUGGUAGUUGAGAGAGUUUAAGGGCGCGCAUGACAAAAUUUAUGUUUCUCUAUUUCUCUGUUUCUCUGUUCCCCGGAACAAAUUUGGAACAGAAAUCCGUUUGGUAACGCAAUUUGAUUUCUCUAUUUCUGAAACAGAUUUCUAUUCCAGAAAUAGAGAAAUUGAAGAAAUCAGAAGCUAAAAUUUUUAACUUCUCAGUUUCUGAAAUAGAAAUCAGAAACUGAAAUCAAACCAUAUAAAAGAAUCUUGCACUUUCUUACUAACUUAAUUCACUCAUAACCACAACUUCACAAAUUAUUGCUAAUUUUCUUUUUCUUAUUUUGCUCGUGUUUUUUUUUUUUUUGCAUUCUUUUUUCAAUUUGUUUUAUAACUUCCUCUUUAGGAUGAAAGGCAAUUGAAUGGGUCCUCAAUUUUCAAAAUCGACCAAAGUUCUUAAAUGCUUACUUAAAAACAAUGGGGCUCUCUCCUACUAGAAAAGGCACGCGUAUGACUAGUUGAAGAAAAAGUUCUUACGUAAUAGAUGAAUAAAAAACGUGCCUAGAAAUUUAACCUUAUUUUUUUACGAAUUCAAAAUUCUUGCAAAAUCAAAAUAAUUAGAUUGUUACACAAUCUUGAUUUUUAAUUCGAAGGCAAGAGAUUCAAGAGAAUCUCUUUCUUUGCUAUGCAAGGGCCAUUAAAGGUUCAUUGAGCAAUAAUAAAGAAAUUAGGGAUGAACAACUGGACUGAUUCAAUUCGAGAAUCAAAAUAAACCGACCUUCCCCCGAUUGGUUCCUAACCAUAAACAUUACUUUAAGGUACACCAUUAAUUUUAUUUUGUUGAUAAUCUUGUAUAAUACUAGUUUUUGAUAAAAUGACAAAAAUGUAUAGGCGCCAUUGAUGGCACCCAUAUUCAUGCUUCCGCAGUACUUGUCUGAACCUACACAGGAUGGGCUUGCAAACGAUACAUUGACCGAGAAGGGAAACCAAAUUAAUACGCUUAGGAAAACAAUUGCUAAUAAAAUAGUAAGGGAUAAUAAUAUGCCGGAAAUUCCAUGAAAUUGUAUUUUCAACUUUUGUAAUGUAUUAGUAGUAUUUCGAUUAUUAUUUUGUAUUUGAGAAUUUCCCAUGUUGUUUUAGUAUUAUUUCGACUAUUAUUUUGUAUUUGAGGAUUUCCUAUAUUGUUAUCUAAUCAAUUUUUAUUUCUAGAAAUAGAAAUUUUGUUAUGUUAUCAAACGGAUUUCUGUUUCAAAAAUAGAAAUUUUGAGUCGUUAUCAAACGGGUUUCUUUGCUCAGAAACUUGUUCGGGGAAUAGAAAUUAAGAAAUUGAUUUCUAGCCAGAAAUCAAUUUCUGUUUCAGAAAUUUUGUCAUGCGCAGCCUAACUCUCUCUUUGUUUAGUAAAGAAAGAACAUGGAGAAGCAUUCUCGUUGCCCGGGGAGGAAAAGAAUAACAAGUUGAACCAUACUUAUUGACCAAAAUUGCGUAGCUAAGUUUGGAUGACAUUGAUAACUUGAUAAUAUCAUUUAACGUGAACACAUAAUUGAACUAGACAUAAUGGCCAACUUGCAUGGCCUUUUCAGUGAUGUUAGGUGCAGUUGAAAAAGAUUAGUAAGUGGCGAAUUGUUUAUUUUUUGGGUCACGACACGUAGAGAAUAGUUUAUUUCUGUCAUAUUUUUAAACAUUACAUAAUCCCAUUGGCCGAGGAGAAAAAGAUAAGCAAGUUGAACAAGACUUUGUAGUGGUAAAUCCCAAUAAUAGUUUAUAUUGUUGGGGCCAAAUUGGAAAAUCGGCAUCAUGACAUUUAACGCUUAUGCAUGAUUGUUCCAGGAAAUUUUCACCAAGUUUAAAUCUCACUCAAACCGGAUUGGUAAUUUGGGAAACCCAUCUCGAGGAUUACUACGGCCUACGGGACAAUUCAUUUUCGUACUUUUUUCUUCCUUUUGUUUUUUUCUCAGUUCUAUUGGUUUUGAUUUUUUUUUUAAAUUAGACAACUUAUUUUAAUGAUGAACAGCUAAAUUAUGAGGCCUCACGUUCCACUCGUCUUUAAUUUUUUUUUUGGGCCAAUUGGCAUUUUUAUAAAAGGAAGCCAGCAGCACACAAAAUAUGACAUUGUUUAGACAUUUAAAGCAAUUCAAGGACUGUAUCCACUAUUUUCGUGAGUUGCUAGAAGUCGAGGCACACGUUUUGGUGAUGAAAAUUGACAUUUUGAUGAUUCAUGGAAAUUAACACGAUGACAGGAGAAAUUCUGCUGCAGAUGCCGAAUUGUACACUUGGCUGUAAUUUCCUUGGUUUUGUUGGAAAUAGAUUUUCUGCUUGGUAAAAAAUUGGCUCUAAGAAUAAAAUUGAUUGUUCCAUGGUAUUGCUUUUGCACGGUUGUCCAUUUCUCCUUAAACAUUUUUACUCCUUCAAGUAAUAGAUCACAGAAGAAAGCCCAAGCAAUAGAUCACGUAUCAUUUUUACUCCUUCAAGUAACUCACAAACGGAGUCGCUCCGUGAAUAUGAAAAGAACGAACCAUGCCUAUAUUGUGGCAGCCCAACAAGAUGAACCAGUAUGCAAAUUGUUAGAGCACCACAACAAGAUGACCUCCCUGGAAAAUGUAGAAUUAUUAGAGCACACGGGCUAGUACAAUUGUCGGAGCAGACAGGGGCUCCUUUUACUGGUGAAAGUCUUGAUCGCUGUCGGUUCCAGACCGUAAAUAUAUUUGGGCUAGCGCUUCUGCUUUGCAAGGUGAGUUACAGUUGUUGCUAUUCCGAAUUCUUCCGGUCUCGGCCGGAGAAAAUAUGAGGGAGUCUCGAAUUGUCAUGUCAACGGGGUCGUCCCAGUAUUUAAAUUGUGACCCUUGAACAGAAAAAGCAAAAAAAAGAAAUUGAAAAAAAAAAAGUCGCGAUUAAAAGUGGGGUCCCUUGCUGCUGUCGUUACUUUCUCUCCUCUCGCCUUCAUUUUCCUUCCUCUUAGCUGUAAACCUCAUGGUCACGGGGAAGGGUUCGACCGGACGAAAUGUCCGCUCCACGGUGCGGAGUGAAUAAGACACGACUGCCUUCAGAAUUCACCUAUAUUUUAAGCAAACUAAACAAACAUCCUUUCCAAUCUUCCACAAUCCAAUCUUCGCCAUGCAUUCCCUCAAUUAUGUUCUGCAUGUGCUUCAUCGUCGACCCAAUUCUCCCGAUCCAUCUUCUCCUCUGGUUCCGUCUAGUCAAUUCCCAUCUUCAUCGCCGGCCCAUCUACAUCGCCACUUCUUUUGACUGAUUCCUAUUGGCAACCCUCUUCGGAGAUUUUCCCAAUUCCCAGUGUAACAGUAUGGACCUUGAAACUGAUGCAAGGCUCGCAGCUCUCUACAAAAGAAUGGGCAGAUUAUGGGAUAAUCAGGAAAUUGAAGACUGGGAAGAUACUAUUCCAGCAGACAAAUUAGCUGAGUGCCGACAAACCUUAGUCGGUAAACUCCAUUUAAACCCUUUAAUUAACUUUUCGGCAUUCCAAUUUACUAUGAAACGUAUGUGGCGUAUAGACCAUGUCGACAUAUCUCAGAGGGAUGCUGGACUGUUUGUUUUCAAGUUUAAUUCUGAAGCUAACAAACAGCAGAUUCUGGAUAAUAGCCAUUGGUUUUUUUCAAACCACCUCCUAAUUCUACAGCCAUGGAUUCCUAAUACUCCUCUCCAUUGUUAUGAUUUUACUACAUGUGUGUAUUGGAUCCAAAUUUUCGGCUUACCUUUAGAAAGAUGUACUGAAUCUAUGUUGCGUAGAGCUGUGCAGCAUGUUGGUAAGGUCUUGGAGGUUAGCAAUGCUGCUCAAGAAGCCUCUUCCCCUCGCGCUUGGCGAGUUAGGGUUGCCCUUAAUCUGCAUGAACCCUUCAACCCUGGAAAACUGAUAAGAAUUGAAGGUAAACCCUUUUGGUUAGAUUUUAGAUACAAGCGCCUAUCCCAUUUUUGCUAUUCCUGUGGGGUUAUUGGCCAUUAUGCUUUGUAUUGCACUCUAAUUCCUUAUGAUGAUGCCAAACUGGAAGGCCGUGACAAUCUCUAUUUUGGUCAAUGGCUUCGGGCAGAAGUUAAAGAAUCUAGUCCUUUCUGGCAAGCUUUCUAUGACACUUCGAUCAAUCUAGAUACUGAGAUUGACACUGUACCUGAAACUCCUUCAACGGCCCCUCUAAUGUUGCCUGCCAUUCCCAAGAAUAUCGAUCAGCAGGCUCCAGUACUGGAGGAUAGUUCAGAUCAGCAAUGUCACUUACACAUUAAUGAUUCUCAAGGAGGUUCACGCAAGACGUCCCUUCAGCAAUAAGCUGCAAUGUACAAAAUGAAAUCCCCUGUUUCAGCUGGACCUCUUACUAUCAGUAAUACAGAUGCUGAAUCCUCCAAACCUAAGAAACUAAAAAGCCCUAGGAAAGUUACAAAAGAAAGUCCGCAAAAGAAGCUGAAGAGAUAUGCACCUUAUGACUCGUUUGCUCUUGGAUCAGUCGCACUGGCUGAUGAUCAAUUAUUGGAUACCCCUAUCAUUGAGGUUGUAGGGGUAGGCAACUAGGCGAUGGUGGCUAAAAAGCCACCAAAAGAUAAAUGAAGGAUAAUUAGUUGGAACUGUCAGAGGCUGGGCAACCCCCUGAUAGUUCAAGCUCUAAAGGACCUUGUCGUCCGGCCCGAUCUCAUUUUUUUUUAUGGAAUCUAAAAACCAAGACUCUGUUUUAGAUAGAGUGCAAAGGAAAUUACAUUACCAGCAUCGUUUUUUGGUAAGCCCCUCAGGCCUUGCUGGAGGUUUGGCUGUCUUUUGGAAUGAUCCUCUCUCUGUUUCUGUCGAGAACUUCUCAGCCCAUUAUAUCGACUUGACUUGUACCGCUAGCCAAGGUGGCACUCCUAUGAGACUCACUUGUAUCCAUGCACCUACAUCUUUCCAUCAAAGACAACAGUUAUGGAUAGUUAUCAAAGCGAUCGGCAAAUCAAAUAUAAUGACGUGGGUCUGCAUAGGAGAUUUCAACGAGAUCCUAAACCACUGGGAAAAGGUGGGUAAAAGGUUUGCUCACUCUUAUAGGAUGCGCUCAUUCCGGGACUUCUUAAACUACUGCUCACUCAUGGAGAUUGAUAGCAAAGGGUGUGCCUAUACCUGGGUUAACAACAGGAAAGGUGAGGAUUUGGUAAAGGAGAAGCUUGAUAUAGCUCUGUGCAAUAUGGAAUGGAGAUUAAAAUACCCCGCAGCUGAAGUUUUCGCCUUACCUGUCAUAGGUUCUGACCAUAAUCCGUUGUUGUUAUCACUACAACCUCCUGCCACGAGACCAAAAAAGGCCUUUACCUUUGAAGCCUUCUAGGCUAAUCAUUCUGAGUGUCGUCAAGUCAUAGCUAAUGCCUGGACAUCUCUCCCUCUUGGUAAUGCUUCUAUCUCCUGUAAGCUUCUGCUAACUACCACAGCGCUUCAAAAAUGGAGCCGUCAUAAAUUCAGCAACAGCCAACUUCGCAUUAACCUGUUAAAACAUCAACUUCAAGAUCAAAUCAACCAGCCAGACUGCCAUUUUGAUAAACAGCAGAUUAAUCAAAUGAAAGCUGAGGUUCAUCAAGUUUGGCAACAAGAGGAGCAAUACUGGGCUAUGAGAUCGCAGGUUCAUUGGCUGCGUUGGGGAGAUAAAAAUACCAGGUUUUUUCACGCCACUACAAUUCAGAGACGGCAGAAAAAUCAUAUCAACAUGCUGCAAGAUGUAAAUAACCUCUGGAUUCGUGAACCUUCGCUUCUUAAAGUCAUGAUGAUCGACUUCUUCCAAAACUUAUACACUUCAGCUGGUCCUAGGAACUUUGGUCCUAUUCUAUCACAAUGUCCCCAAACAGUUACUGCUAAAAUGAACCUCAAUUUAACAGCGGAGGUAACUACGGAAGAAAUUAAAACAGCUGCCUUUCAACUAGGGGCUACUAAGGCCCUCGGACCCGAUGGUUUCAAUGGCUUGUUCUAUCAUCGUCACUGGGAUAUCUUGGAAGCUGAUUUAGUCACUACCGUGAAAGAUUUCUUCUCAACCGGACUGCUACCACCAGCUUUAAACAAAACCAUUAUCAUCCUGAUCCCUAAAGUUAAUCAAGUAGAGAGGUUAGAUCAAUAUAGACCGAAGUUUAUGCAACUUUCUUUAUAAAAUCAUCUCCAAGAUUUUGGCUAACCGUCUCAAACGCUGGCUCCCUAACCUCAUUUCCCAUGAACAGAAUGCUUUCAUUGCUAGAAGUCAAAUCCAAGAUAGUAUUUUGAUCGUGCAAGAGGUCUUACAUCAGCUGAGAAUAAGGGAGCGCAAAAAAAAAAUUUCAAGGGAUCUUAAAGUUGGAUAUGCUCAAGGCAUAUGAUUGGGUUGAGUGGGAUUUUUUGGAGGAGUAUCUUCACCACCUGGGGUUUGAUCCUAGAUGGAUACAAUGGAUAAUGCAGUGUGUCACCACAAUUUCCAUUAGUAUCAAGCUAAAUGGUGACACUCUCCCUUACUUUCAGCCAUCCAGGGGCCUACGGCAAGGUGACCCCCUUUCUCCUUACCUAUUUAUCAUGCUGGCUAAUCUUCUCUCUACACUAAUUACACAAGCAGUAGACAUGGGGAAUCUUAAACGUAUUAGACUAAACAGAUGGUGUCCUACUCUGUCUCACGUACUUUUUGCUGACGAUGCCAUCUUUUUCCUUGAUGUAAAGCUACUUGAAUGUCAAAAUCUUUCCAAUAUUCUAUAGCAAUAUUGUCUAGCCUCUGGUCAAACUAUCAACAGGAAUAAGUCAGGUCUUUUCCUUAGUAAAAACUGCCCGCUGAGUUUACAAGAGAAUAUGUCUAUGGAUUUGAGAGUUCCUUUAAUGCAGAAAGCUGGGAAAUAUUUAGGGAUACCGUCUGAUUGGGGUGCUUCCAAAAAAGAUAUGUUUUCAUGGAUUAUGGCUCGAGUCAAUGCAAAGCUAGCAGGAUAGAAAGAGAACCUUAUUUCCAAAGGGGGUAAGGAAAUUCUAUUAAAGACAGUGGUGCAAGCCCUCCCCCAAUAUGCAAUGUCCAUAUUUAAACUACCUAUUUCUAUCUGUAAAGCUAUUGAACAGCGGAUAGCAAACUUUGGUGGCAGAAUAGUAGGACAAAAUCUAGGAUCCACUGGAAAAGCUAGGAAGUUUUGAAAGAAUGCAAACAUAGCGGAAGUAUGGGAUUCAGAGAUCUAGUUACCUUUAACAGAGCCCUCUUGGGCAAACAAGCGUGGAGACUUUCUCAGCACACCCCUUCCCUAUGGACUUCUCUUUUUAAGGGCUUAUAUUACUAUUCCAAGGAUUUCUAGCAUGCCGAUAAGGGACAGCGACCUUCCUGGGGUUGGCAAAGUAUACUCCUAGGAAGAGACUCCAUCAAAGAACAUAUGAAGUGGCAAGUGGGUAACGGAGAAACAAUUAGAGUCAGACAAGACAGAUGGCUGAACAACGAGAUCAUUCGGGACCAGCACCCAGCUAUGAACCCGAGAAGGUUGCUGGUUUCAUCUCUUCAACACAACUCAAUUGGGAUAUUCCAAGACUAGCAUUAUGCUUUGAUACUCAGACGGUUAAAGAAAUUACAGCUAUUCCACUUAAACCAGAUUCUAACCCAGACCAACUACUCUGGAAUGGAUCGCAUAACGGCAAAUAUUCCGUUAAGAGUGGCUAUUAUCACAUCAGACAACCAGAGACCAAACCAAACACUACCAGGGCUUCCUCAUCCUACACCACUCCUCCUUGUCAUUGGCAACAAAUUUGGAAAAUAAACACAGCUCCAAAAAUUAGAACAUUCCUAUGGUCUAUAUGUCAUAAUGCAUUAUCAACAAAGGAGAAUCUCUUCAGAAGACAUGUCAUAGAUGACCCAAUAUGUCCCCUCUGCACAUCUUGAGUCCCAGAGUCUAUGGAACAUUUAUUCUUGGCUUGCCCUACAUCUCAACAGGUUUGGGCUCAUCCUGAUAUACACAUUUCAGUUUCUGCAUAUCGUACACACCGUAUGGAUGCAUGGUUAGCUGAUCUAGUUCAAAGUACAGCACAUUUACCUGGGCUGGAGACGAUUGCAUCCAUUCUUUGGCAGCUGUGGAAGGCACGGAACCUUUAUGUUUUUCAAUGUAAGCGUUUGAGCCCUCAAAAUAUUGUCGAUUCCACACUCACAUUAGCAAGGUUGUAUCUCUCCUCUGCACCGGGGCCUCUGGAUCCAAGAAUACUCGCCCCGAAUCCUCAUACAUGCUGCAUUCCCCCCGCUCCUGGCUUCGUUAAAGUUAAUAUGGAUGGGGCUUUUCCAUCUGGCCCCCUCAGGGGUUCAAUCGCUUAUCUUUGCCGUGAUCAUAAUGGUUCCUUACUCGACGGCAGCUCCCAACUUGUCGCUGCCUCCUCCCCCUUUCAAAUAGAAAUACAUGCUCUCUUAUUCACUCUCAACUCUCUGAUAGGGCAGGGAAUGGCUACCACUAACCUGAUCCUUGAAUCGGAUUGCUUGGAGCUUGUAGAGGCCAUGAAUCUCCGCCAACAAUCAUCCCCGGAAUGUUGAUUGCUGAUCGAGGAUGCCAUUGCUCUGCUUCGUCGAUGCCCUAAUUUGCGACUUCUUCAUUGCAGGCGUGAAGCCAACUUGCCGGCUGACUAGGCUACCAAGGCUCAGGGCCGUGGAGUUCUAGGCUCCAAUUGGGCUUUUCUUCCACCCCCUUUAAUCUUCUGUGUAAUGAUGCCCUCUCUAAGGGUUGUACUCUUUUCAAAUCUUGAAUGUUAAGUUAUGCUUCCGACCAAAAAAAAACAAAAAAACAAACAAACAUCCUUUCCCAAAUGACCGUUUGAACGAUUUCAAUCCGCACGCAUGAGACAAAACCUCAAUUUCAUGGCAGAGUCAGCAACUUCUCGGUGCCGUCAGGCUAACUGUCAAUAACAAUGAACUUUUCCAGCCAUGUAACCCAAAUUCAGCGUGAGGAGCCACCGAAAGGUCAAGUUUGGUCUUUUUGUCUUUAACCGAUUUUUUUUUGCUUAAAAAUUUUAGUUUAGGUUUUGUGCAAUCGUUUUGCAACACUCAUUUUAAACCAAAAAAUAAAGAAAUUCAAACACACUUUAAAAAUGUCAAAAUAGGACAUAAAUCCAUUUUUUGACUCACAUAUUUUGGGGUGGGCUAUAAAUGAAUUGUUCGACAUCUUCGACGUGUGCUCUUCUGGUUGCUUUGGACAAAAUUGUGUUGGACCGCUAGAUAACGUUUCAUUUUUACUCCUUCGGUGAUUCUUGAACCGAUCUCUCUGUUAAUAUCAAAGAAUGAAAUGCCUCUAUUCGGGUUGCCCGACAAGAUGACCUUGCAAAAGGUUUUGUUUCUGGUACUUUACAAUCCAAGAUGAAGAUGCACAUGGAUCGGGAGGGAAAAAGUAGACAAAUUAAUAGAAAAUGACCGGAUUUAGUCGUCGCGUGGAGUGGACGUCCUCGCGAACCACCCAGGCCUGUCGGUGGGGCCCACCGUUUUUGCACGAAGUUUUUUUUACUCAUAACUGUCAGUUCAUGACCCUAAAAAUCCGGGGCUGGUGCGUCUCCUUUACAAAGUGCGUUCCAGCGGUUCUUGUUAUACACGGUGGAGCCUACAUUUUUAAACUAGACGUUCAUCCCUUAAAUGAAUGAUCCGUGCUAAAGUGGCGAUACUUGAUGUAGUGAUGGCAUAAAGUAUUGAGCUCAUAAUUAUGGUCAUUAUUCAAUUUGUCAGUACUUUUCCUGAUAUAUAAUGUAUGGUUGUCAUUUUAUCUAUAUGACUUUUAUUUAGAGUGAAAACUUUUUAUGAUCACGUAGCACUAAGUUUUUCGCAGCUAAUACUUCAAGACGGGAGGAAAGAACAAUAGUUUCUUUGUAAACUAAGAAGAUUACUCGACUAUUUUGGUUAGUUUUGACCUUGAAACGAUCACUACCUCUACGCCAUAUUCACUGCGUCACUAACAAAGAGGAAAGAGGGAAAGCUGGAGGCGAGAUGGGAGGAUGAAGUGCAAGAUAGAGCUUGAUUGAUAAUUCAAAAAAAUCUUACAAAAUAUCCACAUUUCAUAUGUCCACAUUGAAAAUCUAGAGACGUCUUCAAUUUUCAGGCGACUUCCUAAGGCAAUUACGCCCCCUGGCGGUUCCACCUCCAUGUUCUAAUUCAAAAGCUACUGGUAGUUGAGAGGGUUCAACUCCCUCAUUGUUCAAUUUGUCUAUGUUUUUUUUUUUUAAUGAUAUAUAAUACAUAGUGUUCGUUUUGUCUUACGACAUUUAUGUGGAGUGAAGACUUUUUGUGACUAUGUAAAGCCAAGUUUUUCGCAAUUUACACUUCAAGGCAAAGGGAAUCUAUAGUGAUUUCCUUGGAAACCAAGAAGAUUACUCGAUUAUUUGAAUGGUUUUGAGCUAGAAACGAUCACUUGAUUGUCUCUACGCCAUAUUUAUAGUGUCAUUGUUAAAGAGGAAUGAGGGAAGGCAGGAGGCGAGAUGGGAGGACGAAGUACAAGAUAGAGCUUGGCCGAUAAUUCAAAGAAUCUUUCAAAAUAUCAUACAGUUAAUACGUCAAUGUUGGGAAUCUAGAGAUGCCUUCAAAUUUCAAGUAUAUACAUUCGGUGGUGGUUGUAAUUCUAAAUUUACUCUCUAUAUAAUAAAGAAAAGAACAUGAGGAAGCCUUCUCGAUAGCUCAAGGAGAAAAAAUAAGCAAGUUAAACUAGACUUAGGCUCCCUUUAUUUCGUGAAAAAUGAAAAAAUUGGAAAAUAUUUUCUUAAAAAGAUUGUUUAUGUCGCUUGAAAUAAUUAGUCAAUAAAAUUUUUUUUUAUUAUCGGCAACAAUUUAUGUAUAAAUAAUUUCGUGAACAAUGAAAAUAUUUUUCAUUAUUUCAUUUUAGCAAGUGAUAAAAGAGAAAUAAAUGGAGCCUUACUAUAGGGUAGCUUUUUGAACGAGUUUGGACGCAUGUGAACAUGUUGAUUACUUACUCCAGCAUCUAACACGAACACAUGAUUGAAUUGAAUUAGACAUUAAUGGCCAAAUUGCUCAGGAAUGAGUUUGGGCGCUUUUGAAAAAGUAAAGCAAGUUCUUUGCUAGAAUGGAAAAGUCAAAGCGGCAUCUUCCUUUUUCCCCCAUUAAAAUAGAAAAUUGCAAGCGAUAUAGCGAAAUAAAUGGAGCCUUACUAUAGGAUAGCUUUUUGAAUGAGUUUGGACGCGUGUGAACAUGUUGAUUACUUACUCCAGCAUCUAAUGCGAACACAUGAUUAAAUUAGACUUUAAUGGCCAAAUUGCAUAGCUUUUUGAAUGAGUUCGGGCGCUUUUGAAAAAGCAAAGCAAGUUUUUUACUAGAAUAGAAAAAGUAAAGCAAGUCGAACUAGACUUUCCAUUAAAAUAUAAAAGUUAAAAUAUAAAAGUUAAAGCGGCCUCACUCAUGUUUUGGGGGCUAGCAAACGUUAAGAAUGAAUUAGUUGGGCCGCUCUAAUUGUCUCUUUGCACUUGUAAGCCCCCAAAGAAUGACCAGCAUCUUCCUUUUUCCCAAAUGGAUUACUUAUGAAAUAAGUGCUACGAAUGCAAACGUCUCUUAUUGGGUGUCUGGCAAAUAUACCAAGCAUUGAUCGUUUUUUUUUUUUUUUCUAUGGAAUGAGAAGCUUAGGCUGCACAUGACAAAAUUUCUGAAACAGAAAUUGAUUUAUAGCUAGAAAUUGAUUUCUCAAUUUCUAUUCCCCGGACAAGUUUCUGAGCAAAGCAACCCGUUUGAUAACGACUCAAAAUUUCUAUUUCUGAAAUAGAAAUCCGUUUGAUAACAGAAUAAAAUUUCUAUAUCAUGAUGGUCACUUUUAUUCUUUUUCAAAACAAAUCCAAAUCAAGUUGUUUCUCAAAGAAAGCUGAACACAAGUACUUAAAACACAUGAAAAAGAAAAUAUCGCGAGAGAGAGAGAUUUAUGAGCAAUUAUGGGCAGUCUCAAACCUAGACACAGAAAGUACAUCUAUUCUUAUUGGAAUGUUACAAAAUUUUAGUAUGUUAUAGAAGAGACAUAACUUAACAUUUUUCGUGAAGAAACCUAAGCCUAUAUAUCUCGAUGUAUUAAGAGCAGUAAUUUGCUGUCUUCUUUCUUAAAAUUCUGCAGCAACUUCCAAAUUUAGUACCUAACGAAGAAAUAUCAUUUCACUACCUAAACCUUCACCGUUUGUUCUCAAAUUUUGAUAUGUUGUUCCCAAAGAGGUUUCCUACAACUUUCAUGAAGAGUUUAAUGUUCAAUUCUAUCUAGUAAAUUACAAAAAAUUCGUAGAACUACCUAAGGUUUUGUUGUCUUCUGCAGAACAGCUUACUAAUUCAAAGAGAAAUGCUAUCACCAAUACAUUUUCACAUAAAUCUUACUAUAACUAGAGGUCGAACCUAAUUUAGUUAACGUUCUCUUAAAUAAACUUGUUCUUUUCCUUAUCUGCAUCUUUAAAAUACAAAGCGACGCAUAACUAAAGGGUUUCCUUCUCUGUUUUCCAAAUAAUCAAUGUGCAGAUCACCCUAUGCCAGCAAACGAACAAAAUUCUAUCUUGUGUUUUGCAAACGAACACUGAAAUUUAUAAUAGUCUCCUAGUCCUGAACAUAGGGGAUCACAUGACCCAGAUGAUGUAAGGUUCUAAUGAUACAGUAGCAGGUCAAUGUAAAGUCAGCACUAAUUUAAUUACAUAGUAUGUUAGAGAGUUUUUUUAAGCAGAUUAACAAUGCUUAAGUUCCACAUACAAGGCGCAGAAUUGAAUGCAGUCACUACUAUUUGGUGAGUGCAUUAGCAGACUCCACUAUUUACAAGAAAAAAUUACAAAUUACUACAAUUAUCCUUAGCUAGAACUUCUUUCUUUAAGAUACAUACUUUCCUAUAUCUAUGUCACAAUAAACUCAUUAACGCAACAUUCCCUGGUCUUUGGGAUCCAAUACCAAAAUCUUCCAAUUAUUGCCUCUUUCAGAAACUAAGGACACAAACAUUCAUCUCUGUCCUUCAACUGCUCUACAUCGUAAAGUAGAAACUUAAUCAAGGAAAGCAUUUUUUCCGCCAUCCUGCAUUGGCCAAGAUGAGAAAUAGUCAAAUGGCAUAAGAGACAUGAAGGUCGACUAUGAGGGCACCAUUUCAUUGUCCCAUUGAGCUCUCCAAAAAUAGAAUAAAUCAACUAGUGUAAGCAUCCACAUUCAAUUAGAGCCAUUUAUAAUAAACCUGAGACACCGUCAAGCAUAACUCCAUCUUCCUCAUAAGCCCCAAUAUCCUUGGACAAAUUCACAGGUCAGAAGGACACAGGACCAAGGUCGUAAUGCAGAAGUCAAAUAACCAGAGGAAAAGAGCGCAUGCGGACGAAAGCCGAAACAUGAAAAGAGAGGCAAGAAGAGAAGGAUCGAUCGAACCUCGUGAGGAAUCACAAGGGAAAGUUCCAGAGAAGGCCACAAACGAACGCUGACGCGAGCAAAUUGAAUAAUGACGGAGAUGGGCGACGACGACUGGAGUUGUGGAAUCGAGAGCAAAAAAGGGAUGCGGAUAGAGGAGGCGGGUUCGACGGGACAAUCGGAGCAAAUUGGACGGUCUGAGGACGGCGACAGUGAGAUGAGCGACGAUCUGACCGGUAAGAGAACGGCGACGGCGACUGGAGUUGCGGAAUCGAGAGCGGAAAGGGGACGCUGACAAAGGAGGCGAGUCCGACAGGACGGCCGGAGCAAAUUGGAUGGUCUGAGGACAGCGACGGUGAGACGAUUUGACCGGUAAGAGGACGGCGACAACAUCGAAGUCGACGGCGAGGAUGGAUAGCUUCGGAGUCGACGGUGCUAGGGAUUUUGGUUGAAGUGAGGAGAAGGAGGAGUCGACGUCUGUGAAGAGAAGGGUGGAGAAAAGGAAAUAAUUUCUAUUUCUAUUUUAGAAACAGAGAAGCUACAAUUUCUAGCUUCCAAUUUUUCCUCCAAAAUCAAUUUUUGAAAUAGAAAUCUAUUUCAAAAAUAGAGAAAUCAAAUUGCGUUACCAAACGGAUUUAUGUUCCAAACCUGUUCCAGGAAACAGAGAAAUAGAGAAAUCAAGAAACGGAAAAUUUAUUAUGCAUAGCCUUAUUAAGUAAACUAGCACUUGCAUUGUUUCUUCCUGAAAUGAGGUACAUUGUCAAGUUGCUGAGCCCAUGGGAUGUCGCGACCUACCCUGGGAGAAAGGAAUAGGUUUAAGGGUAUUGCUUAAAGAACAAGCUUAUGCCUCAUCAUUAGGCACAGGCUCUCUCAAGCCCAUACCUCAUGCGACAUAAGUAUUCAUAAGAAUAUGUAAUAAGAAGUCAUUACUAGCCUAUUUGAGUCAAUUAUAAAUCAAAUGAGACAUGAGAGUAUACCUCACUUCUUAUGCAACUAGAGAAUCUAGGAUCGGAGACUUGAUUACACUAAUUAACCAAUUAGUGCUCUUUCGGUACCUAAUUUUGUUCAUUUAGAAUAAAAAAAUAUUUUUGUUAGGCAGUUUGGAUUAAUUUUAAACCAAUCCACUAACAUGUGAAGUAAUCAUGCAGGUGCGCAAUCAUUAAAAUAACAAUCAAUAGACAAUGAAAACGUUAAAUAAAUUACAUGGAAGAGUAAAGAUUUAACAUUAUCAAAUAGGGAGCAUGCCAUCUCUAACUAAGCUAAAGGAAUGCCAUAGUCAACAUAAUGAAAGUGCACAAUCAAGGGCAUUCGUUUUUAGAGAUAAUAAGAACUCUAUGAUAAAGCCCUAAAAGCUUGUUUAAUUUUGAGCACGUUAUUCACCAAGGAUUUUCACGCAUUUAAUGAGAAAGACUCCCCAAAAAGACCUUUUAAGCUAUUUUGGAGAAAUUAAUUUUUUUUGAAAAUUUUCUUGAAUUUUUUGGGAAUUUUUUAAAUGCAUUUUUAAUACUUUUUCGAAUUUUCAAAAAAAAGAUUUUUUUAUGGAUUUUCUGAUUUUUUUUUCAAAAUUUUAAUGUUUUUCCGAACUUUUUAAUUUUUUUUAAUGAUUUUCUCAAAUUUAUAAUUUUUCAUUGAUUCUCAAAUUUUCUAAAUUUUUUUAUUAUUUCCUGAGAUUCUUUAUCAUUUUCUGAAUUUUUAAUAUUUAUUAUUAUUAUAUUUAGGGCACGGGCUCAGACUGGGUUUUACGCGAUCCGGCCCAUUAGCUCGACCCAAACCCGGAUCCGACCCGCGUCGGAUUAAAACCGAUUUUUAAUAUUUUCAUAUCAUUUUUUUUUGAAAUUUUUUUCUUUUUCUUCUUUCUUUUGUCUUUUUCCUACUUCGUCAUUUUCUGGUUCAUCUUCUUCCUUUAGCUUCCUUCUUCCCCGAAGCGUUUUUCUUCCUGCCACUCUUCGACCCGAACCAGCAACCACCACUGAAGUAUGCCGCUGCCAUCCCUCAAGCCGCCGCCGAGCCUCCACCGCCGACGGGUCAUCUACCCCGACCGACGUCCACCAACUCCGGCCGCUCAUUCCGGCGACCUCAAAGUUUAACGAAAUAAAAUCCUACGGAUCCUAAAUUUCUAAAACCAACCAUCCAUCAACCAAACAAGUACGAAAAUGUUAAUAUGAGGAAAGAAUAGCCUAACUGGGGUGGCCUCGAACCACAAGGUGUGCUGGUGAGGGGAAGGUUUCCGGCGGAGAGGAUGACUCACGGCCAACUCAACAACGACCGAUCGUUUCCACAAAAUCGCAUGAAAACAAAUAGAAAAACCCGAAAGGCAGACGAGAUUCAAACAAUACGAGAGAAAAAGAAGUCGUUCUUGAGAUUCAACGACGAACGUGAUUCGACCCUCUCUUAGGCAUUUUUGUCGAACACGUGAUAUGCAGACUUCACAAUAGCAUUCCGAUUCGGCUUCUGAAUGAAUCCUAGCCUAGAAACGAUGCACUCAGACUUAAAACACCAUUACUAGCAGAAAAAUGGCUUUGUUUCAUCAAGAUUUCGUCAAAAGCAGCAAUCAAUUAGAGCGUGAACAUGGGAACUUUUCGGUCUUUUUUUAGACAUUUUAGCAAACAUGUGAUGUACAGAUGCAAAAUUUGAGUUUUCAAUUCCAAACCAACACCAUUUCCCGCCAAAACGUGGCCUAUCAUGCUCUAAAAGUCAUCAUCCAUCGCUAACCUAUUUCAGUUUCGCAUACUCAAAAGCUGACUUCAUCAACUGGGUUCAAUAUUAUUGAAUCCCCAAUAGCACGAAGAGAAGAAAAAAAAAAGAAUACCUAAAGGAAGCGUAAUCCCUGCUUAGCCAGAAAUGGUAUCACUGCUGCCACUUGUUCGUCGGCAAAGCUCAAGAAACGGCCGGCACUCCUCCCUUCCUCCGGUGAACUACCACGCUCGAUGGUGCUCGUCGCUCGACCACGAACAAGGGCGGUGACCGACAGUAGCCGCUGGGGCUCGAGAUGAACUCCGGGGAACUCCUUUCUCAACUCCCUAGAAAACUCCCUCUCUCUGGAUUGCUCCCCCAAACCUGUCUCUCGGCCAAAACGUGUAGAAAAAAUAGAAACCCCACUUUGCUCUCUCUGUCUCUUUCUAAACCGAGCUCCCUCUCCCUCGGUUGCUCUCCCUCAGCCGAAGAAGAAGCCCCUCAAAUCUCUCUCUCUCGCCCAAAACCUCCCCUCUCUCUCUCUCUCUCUCUCUCUCGGCCACUCACCCUUUUGAGGGCACCGGCCAGAGCGCAUGGCUUCUGCCAUCACCAGCUCGCUGGUCGGCCUGGCCCCGACCCACGGAUCGCGCUGCCCUCUGCUGCUCGCCAUCCUCCUCCUCUCUCUGACCUAUACUCUCCUUUUUUGCAGAGGCGGGACCGGCGAGAGGAGGUAGAAGACCAGCACGCAGGCUGGGCUUGGAGAAAAGGAUAUGAAGCUGGGGUUGGCCCGGGCGAAAAGACACACAGAGGAGAGCAGAAGAGAAAAGGACCGGGCCAAGCCCAGUCGGCUUUUCUUUUCUUUUCUUUUUUUAAAUAAUUUUCGAUUUUUUCUCAAAAUUCUAGUAAUUAGUGAUAGUAAUGCUAAUGCUCCUAACCUCUAUAUGUGAUGCAAUUUAGUAAAAAGUUACUUUUUUGGCUAGGAUUUAAAAAAUCAUCCAUAAUUUUCUAUGCGAUUAAGUGACAAAUGAAAUAAUAAAAUUUAGGCGUCAAUACGCUAAUCCAACGAAGUUAUGAGAGUGGACUGAGAUGGAGAUUUUCCCUGUGUAAAGUAAAAUUCUCAUUCCUUUGCUUUUUGUUUUAGAAGCGUAAGCAAUUGUCACUGUGUUAUGCACAAGAAUAGACUUUGUGAAAGCAAGGAAAAAGAUAGAAAGAAAAGAGCAUAACAGAUCACAUUAUACUAACCUACAACCCCGUGAUAUGCACAAAAAUAUACUUGUGAAAUAGAUUAGAAGGAAUAAUUAUUUUAGAAGGAUACUAAAUCGUUAGCAUUAGAGAUUGUCGUUAUAUUGAAACUGAUUAUAGGCCCCUUGGACUUUAGUUUGGUUAAAGCGGAAAAUUCAAAGGCGAUUUUUUUCAAAAGAAUGUUAGGAUAGAUGUCACUCAUAGGGAGUGCUUCGUGUAGGUUACCCAUUGAAAGUGCUUUGGAGCACGGCUUUACAUUUAACUAACAAAAUAGAUUCACUAUAUCUAUUUUAGAUCUAUACAUUAAACAUUAUUGAUUUUAGAAGCUUAAAUCUAAGCUCUAAAAAAUAAUGGUUUCUUUUUCUGCUUGAGCGCAUCAUCAAUUUGCUUUUCAUUAACUUGUGAAUUUUAAUUAUAAAACAAUAAAUUUAAUUAUGGGACACUCAUGUUCUUACUUCUUCUUCUUCUUCUUUUCAACUUUUGGCCCAAAUGUUCUCAAUCCUAUUGGCUUUGCAGUUUUUUUUUUUUUAAUAUAUUAGACAACUUAUUAUUAUGAUAAAAAGUUUAAUUAUGGGAUCUCAUGUAUUGCUUAUCUUUAAUUUUUCUUGAGCCAAUCUGCAAUUUUUGAAAGGAAGAAAGCAACACAGAAUAUGACAUGGUUGAGAAAUUAAGCAAAAAGGAGAAAACAAAAAGAAAAGUGAGUUAGGUGUCGAUAAAAGCACAUCAACUCCUCGGUGGCUCCCUCUCCAUGCACCAAAAUACUUACAUAAUAUAUUACUAUUUAAUGGGCUGUGUUUUCCUUAUUCCAUAUUAUACUUCUGAUUGGUGGGUUAUAAAUACGAAUAGCACACAUACUUAAUUUUAGUUAAGUUUACAAUUCAUAACUUAGAAACCAAUCUAAGACAUAGUUAAGAAUCAUAUACGAAGAACUAGAGAUUUGUUAAGGUGAACUUCAAAAGCAAAUAGUUGUGUAAAUUCCCACGUGAAUGUGCCACGUGACUCAACCUCAUGCGUGGUUUACCCAUUUUAUAUGUCUGCGCGCUUGCGCUUUGAUGGCAUCAACGAGUAUUGCAGGCAAAUACAAAGUCUGCUAGCUUCAAAUGCAGGCUCCAAUAGCCUCGCCUAGCUCAAACACAUGGGACUUAGCUGGAGUUAUUUUCAGGCAAUGCAUUUGGCAGAUUUAGUCUAUAGAAGAAAUCAAUAAACUAUGCGGAAAUAACGAGAUAUUUAUCUAUGUCAGGAAGCAAGAGUAGUUUGAGCUCUAGGACGAUUUUUGCACAACCUAUAUAUAUAUAUGGACUUAUAUACUGGAGAAGGAAGAAAAACAAAUAAGAAGAAGGGGCUGGUGCCAUGAGACAAAUUUGACCAGCUUUGAGCAAAUUAAAUGGUCCUCUGUUGGAACGGUGGAGUUUGAACUGAUAAUGCUGUGUCUCGGUCCAAUUCUUCUAUAAUUUCCUGUUUCAAUUUUGUUCGACUUGAAUUUGUGACCUUUAUUCCACGGCAAGUUUAACAUAGUUAUUGUCUCAAAUGGAUUAUGUCUUCGCGAAAGCACGAUUUAAAGACCUGGAAAAGCUCGAGAAAUUCAAUGCUCUCAACUCCAGGAGAUGGAGCACGAAGAUGUGCUACCAAUUGACCGUUGCUCAGGUUGGCUAUGCUCUAAGCACUAGAUGUACGAGAUGAAUCUUCCAAUAGGGAACUCAACGAGGGUCCAAAGAAGGGAAUGGAAAAUGACCAAAAUAGCUUAUUCAUGAUCCCCAACGCCAUGGACAACUCUCUUUUGGACAUCCUCACACGCACUCGAAGACUUAUGAUGUUUGGAAAGGCGUUCGAUAGAGGCACGUGAAUGAGAAUGCUGGUAACAUCUUUCUUGGUUAACAAGUACCUUGAUUAUAAAAUUAUCAUUCUAUUCCUAUCACUGAUCAAGUCAAUGAAUUGAAUGAUAUUGCAAUUGCGUAAGCAGAUGCGGAUGAAUCAAUCUUUAACACUUUUCUCGUUUGUGUUAUUGUUGGUAAACUUCCAUCUUCACAGUAAGGCUACCAAAAGCUUUUAAAGCACUAUAAAAAGUCUUUUGAGUUCGCAUCAAUCGCUUCAAUGCAUUCAAGUUGAAAGUCAGGCUAGAAAUCAUGAUGUAUCUGAAAACCAAGCAAAGAACGAACAAUUUCAUGAUGAUGAGGAACCGGCAUCUAGCAAUUUAGGAAACUUUUUGAACAAGACUUGCUUUCGGAGUGGUAAAAUGGAUCAUGUGGCUCCAUUUUUCGGUGGAGGACAAUGACGAUGGGGUUUCUCAUGGUGAACGAUGAUGAAGGUUGGUGGAUGGACUCCGGCGAAACUUGGCAAUGUUAUUCUCCACAGGAUAAAUGAUAUUUACGCACUUUUGGCAACGCAUCAACGAGUCACGUGAUCCGUCGAUGUUAGGUCACCAAAUGUCAAGUGUCACGCAAAUAUUAUCCCAAAGACAAUGAAGGAAUUCAAGAAGCUUGAUACGAGAUCAUGUGUGCAUAUGCCCCAUGAAGAGAUGACAUGUUCCAGGAGCACAUAAUAGCACAAGGGCAAUAACUCUGUUAAUGAUUUAGCGCAUGGCAUUGACUUAAAUUUUGAUAUCUUUUUGUAAGAUUUAAGAGGAUUUCGGCAUUUGCAAAUUGAGUUCUUUGGUACUGGCAAAGUGAAAGACAGAAAAAAAACUUAGUUCUAUGGCUUUCUUCGACACUCAACUUAGUUUGAUGGUUAAAAAUUGUUAAAUGUAGAUUUUUGACAUUCCCAAUACCUCAUUUAUUCUGAACUUGUUCAACCUAAUAUUGCCAACUUAAUAGGUAUAAAUUCCCUCUUGAAUGUGAAGUAGAACCCAUCCAUUUCCAGUGAAAUUAAGUGAGAGUAGGGAGAAUUGAAAUUAAUUGAUUUCGUAUGAUAUUAAGGAAUGAAAAGUCAAAAUCAUCAUAACUGAAGGUACCUUUUUUUUUUGGGUCGAAUAACGGAGGUACUUUAUAAGAGCAGAAAAUAGAAGUUCCAUCCAAAGAGUAAUUUCACGAUUACAAAAUAUGCCAUACUCUCCUACAACCGGGUUGGAGGAGAUUCCCUCCGCUUAUACCAUUGAUUGGUGGGUUAUUGCUACGACAUCACCAAUAUUCAAUUUUGAUUAAAUUUACAUGUAGCCAAUGUCCAUAACUUAUAAUCCAUUAAUCAGAGAUAUGGUUGAAAAAAAUUCCGUCCUUCUAAAAUUGACUCAUCAAGUGGUGUCUCAAAUGGUGCAUUGGUCUUUGAUAGGUGGGCUUAAACGACCAACAUAAAUUUUAUAAACACAAACUUUGCAAAUCAGUUUUGCUAACUACUCUUUGAGAUCAAUAAUCGUUACGCCAUCCCUUUCACGUAGACGAACUUAGAAACGACAGCAUGGCGAACAAGCUAUUGCUAUCUAAGAAUGCUGUACAAUUUUGUGUAGACCAAAAGACAACUUCGCACGCAUAAACCUUAUAAGCAGCCGUUGCUGCUGUCCAAUAUGUUGAGUAUAGUCGACGGAUUCAGUUUUGGAGUUCGUGGCGGUGGUAUUGCAACCUGAUGACGGUGGCCGUGGAGGAGCGACGCAGCAAAAGUGAGCAGCUAUGGAGCGAAGAAGAAGAAAGACAAAAGGGCAGAAAGGAACAAAUAUGUGACAGGCUGAGUUUAAAAGAAUGAUGCAACAUUUUUCACCUAGUCAGAUCGUACGCAUCGCUAAUAAUUUUGUGACAUGGCGCAUAAGUCUCUCAUUGAGCGAAUUCUAGAAUGUUGAGAUAAUUAUUAGGUAAAGAUAAGUUUAGGUAUCGUAAUAAAUAAAAGUCGAAGCACUUGCAAUGUCAUUAUCCAAAAAAUGACGGCAAGCGAAUAUGUUAUCCAUUGUGAACGAAAUCAAGUUCACGAGGUUACCUAUUCUAUUUCCUACAUAUCAAAAAUCGAGCUCACCAAAUUUUUCGAAGAAUGGAGCUUAAGACCUCUAUCUCAUGAGCCUUCGCACCCUAAGGAGAGAAACCAGUAAUGGCAAAUAUGUCGGGGAGGGUGAUCCAUAGAGGCCCAAUUAGCAGCGGAAGACCAGAAGGUAAAAGGAAAACCAAACAAGCCAGGUUCUAGGAUUAAGUCGAAGCAAGAAAAUUCCAAAGCGAAGUCAACUUGGGCUUGUUCCCAGAGAUGUACCAAGUGAUGUUUUAGCCUUAGGUACCACUGAUAUAGGCCCUGUUUGGUUCAGCUUUGGAGAUGAGCAUUUGGACUCUAAAGUCCCUUGGCCAAAUGCAAAUGUGUUUGGUUCGAGUUUUUGAGUGACUUUGGCAAGAUGCAAUUGCAUCUCCAAAGGGGUCUAAGGGCCCUUAGGCCAAAGGAGGUCCGGAGGUCCUUUGGAAACUUGCAUUUCCGGAAUGCAAGUUCCGGUUACUAUUCACUUCGCGGUUACUGUUCAUCCGCGAGGAAAACCACCGCACGGAGGCCGACGACCGCCGGCCAAGGGGGUUGUGCACGCCGGCGACGCGCCGGCGACCGCCGCCUGAGGGUCGCCUGACCCCGGCGACCGUCGCCGGACCUCAGGCGACGCCUGGGCCGCCCGAUUCAGGCCAUCAGUGGCCUGAAUCGCGCGACCUCAGGCGACGGUCGCCGCGCGACCGCGACCUUAGGCGGUCGUCGCCUGGGUCGCGCGAACCCAGGCGACGGCCACCUGGUCGCCUGAGGUCGCGCGACCCAGGCGACGGCCGCCUGGGUCGCGCUACCCCGGCGACCCUCCGGAGGCCAGAUCCGGCCAUCCAGACCGCCGGAUCCGGCGGUCCGGCCGCCAGAUCCGGCGGUCUGGUGGCCGGACUUCAAAAAAAAAAAGUGUAUUUUUGCUUUUUUUAAUUUAAUAAAAAUUAAUUACAAAUGCAAAUUUUACCAAACGGUAUUUUGGCCAAAGUUGUUUUUCAAUGCAAAUUUUACCAAACGAUAUUUGCAUUUCGGAAAACCCCCUUCACCCAAAGGUAUUUGCAUUACUGCAAAUACAUUCCCCAAAAGCCGAACCAAACGGGCCCAUAAUUUAGUAUCAAGAACUGGAAAAAGUCUAAAUCUACGGUUUCUCUUCGACCAAAUAUAUACUAGAAUGAAAUCCUGGUGAAUGGGAAGUAAGGACCACGAAAAUCUAAUCAGAGCCAUCCUCGGGGGCAAAAGAACACUUGGAGUACCAAAACUUGGCACGGGGUCAUUUAAUUGCUAUUUUUUUUUUUGAAAAAUGAAACACCUAAGUGCCAAGUUCGACGAAGGUAGCCAAAAAUCCUACGUGGUAAUUUUUUAGUAAUAUAACUCGUUUACGUGGCACGCCGAAGAGCUAAGUUAGUAACAAAGAAUCAAAAUGACAUCAUUUUGUUUUUUUUUUUAAUUUUAAUAUUAUUAGAUUAAAAUAUUUACAUUGAAAAAAAGGAGGAGGAGGAGGAGGCAAAAGGCGAGGGCUAAGCUAUCACCGCCUACAAUCUUCAUUUUUUAAAAUUAAAUUAAAUUAAUAUUUAUAUUAAAAUUUUAGCCAUGUCAGCAAAAUAAUGUCGCUUUUGUACUUGUCUAGCUAUGUCAGUGUGCAAAAUGACAUCGUUUUACACUUAUCUCACCAAAAAAUUAUUACGUCAGCAUUUUGGCCAGAUUUUCUCGCCGUUAGCACUUAACUGAUCAAUUUUAUUCAGAUUUUGACACUUAGGUAUCACUGUCCUAACUUUUGACAGUUAAGUAUCCCCUCGUGCCAAGUUUUGGCACUCAAGAAGUCCAAAUGUCCAUCUUCGGGGUUGUCCAAAAAUUGAAGAGAGAGCUUGCCUUACUCUUCCAACUCCUGAAGACCACUGAAGCCAGCAAUGUAUGUCUCGGCAUGAUAAUUGAAGAAACUGGGAGCUUUGACAGUCGAGUUGGAGGAAAAGAGAGAACUAUGGUUGAACUAUGGAAUUUGAAACGAGAAAAAUUUGGGAGAAAAGGUUGAAGGCGAUGGAGCAUGCAAAAGAUGAAGAUGGAAAGAUAAAAGUCAAGGAUGCUGUCGAAGUCCUCUCUCUUGUCAUGGAAGCUGCUUUGCUUGCCGGAAGAUACCCCCACAAGCCCUGAAUCUGUGUCCGCGUUCAAUAAAUACAUUAACUCGGAUCCCGUCACUCACUUCAUGAUCACCCCUGUCUGUUCUUGUUCUGUUGCAACAAAUGGGAAAAAGAAAACAGAAUACUGUAAAGUGCCCGUUUGGAAGAGUAAUAAACACUGACUAUGUAGUUCAAUUUUGAUUGCAUAAAAGGAACCUAUAUUGGCCAUGGAGGUCAAAACUCAAGAUCCGCCUACAAGUUCAGAAUGCCAAAUAAUGCAAAUCGAACAGACUACACUGUACUUCUGUACUUUAUUAACUAGUGCCAACAAUCUCAUGAUCAGGGCGAAGGAAUUUGAUUUUACCAUAAGGGUGACCAGAAAAGAAUUUGAAUCGUCGACAACCAGUUUUUUGGCAUCUAGUCAGCAACCAUCCUAGCUAUCAAAAAACUAUCUCUAGAACAAAAGAAUUUUGAAUGGAAAUUAUUGAAUAUCAACUUAUUUCAUGCCAAUUCCUGAGACUCCCAAUGUACGCUCUCUAUUUCAAAUGUUAGGAUGUCCAUAAGGAAGUUGCUGUCAAGAAUCAAUCCUCCAACAAAUCAGGAGGUGGAGGAUAUAAUUCCGGAGUCUUGAGUUGCCGAACUGUCAAGAACAACAAUUGCUAACUGCAUCCUUCAUAAACCGCAUCAACUCAAAUAGAUGCUUCAAAAACUGAAAAGCUAUCCCUAAGAAAGGCAUUAACAGCUCCCGCAAAUCGGUGCAACAUCAUGAGAUCAACUUGUUAUCCCCUGAAUCGAUUAUUAUCAAAUCAUGCCGCGAGGUGCCAGUGAGGAAUCUCCAUCUUUCAGAAUAGUCUUGACAGCAAAACUCUCACAAAACAAGAACAACGUCUAGCUCUGCUCUCAUUCCAGUGCCUAAACAAACAGUCCAUCUACUCAGUCACUUAAUCCUUAAUCUCACAUCGGAACAACCUUCACAUAAGGUUCUCUUCGGGUCAGAUGUCCCAGAUUGAAAAGACAUCGAUUGUUUUAUCGUAUAUAGCAUUCUAUACUGUAUCUUGCUAUUUCGAAGGUCUCGAACGGUCAUCAGUGGAACAAAUCCACCUUGCAUAGCGUAAAAUUUCUAAUGCU